UGAGCUGGUCCGUCUUGGGUCCGUCCUCUUGUCCCCUUCGCCCUCUGCUCUCGCCCCUUCCUCUUUCAUGUCGAUGUGAUGAGUUGUUGUCCAGCGCGGGUUGGUCCAUUCAUCAGUUUAUUGUUUUGUUUGUCAUUGGUUUGCUGCUGGCCGGCGGGCCGCAUGCGUCAUGUGCUGAUUUUAUUGGGGUUAAAUUGGCCAUGUCUGAAAUCUGAAAUGGAAUUGCACGAUUUGACUAUUUUGCUUGACUGUUUCUAGUCUUGGUCUCCUGUUUGGAUAACUCAUCGGUACGACCAGUCUAAGCUUAGGUCACUUCGGUUUGCAUUUUUGUUGUUGAUGAAUACACAGUAACAGCAUGAGCAUCCUGCGAAUUAACCUGUGGUUGAGUUGGUUAGGUGGACAGUGAUAUCCCUAACCCACCAGGGUUCAAAUCCUGGUGCUCCCAUUAUUUCUGGAUUUAUUUCGGGAUUUCCGGCGAUACAUUUUUAGUGGGAAGUUGACCAACAUGACAUGCCAUCAAAGAAUAAAGAAAAUCUAAAAUAAAUUUGUAAAAUACGAUCACUUAUGACAAGUCUAUAACUUGAACUCGGAUGAUUAGGUUCCACCACAAAAAAUUCUUACCAUUUAAGUUAAACUCAGUCGCUUUGUUUGCAUAUAAUUGAGAUGUACAAAAGCAAUUUUUUGAUAUAAAUUAUUUCGUCCAACCGAUGGGAAACGCGUGAACUUUCUUAUGCACGAGUAUCUUGGAAACUAUUGUAAUAGGGGCCGACCCUAUGAUGGGCAACGUCUUCUAAUAUCAUAUAUAUGCAUGUUCCCUAAAUAUAUACGCAUGUGCGUUGCGCUGCAAGAUUUUCUGCCAACUUGUAUAAUCUAACUACUCCAAAAUGUAUUAACUAUUUUCUAAGAGCAUGCAAGAGGAUUGUGUGCCAUUGUAUUAAGUGGGAGAGAACGGUUUAGUUACAAGAAACACUCAACUAGCCACAAACGGUCAUCGUAGCCAUCUAAUAGCAUGCUAAGGAAUAACUCGCUAAAUAAUUUUGUGUACAAUACCUCACCAAUAGCACGUUAAUAGUAGAUUUUAAGGACGGCACUUUUUUGCCACAAUGCGUUUUUCUUUCCACCGAGCUUUACACACAACCAACACCCCGGACUACUCUCUACACAUCCUAUCCACACGCACAAGCUUCCAAAGCGCAAAUUCUGCUUACGUCUAACUCCAAAUGUACGUCCCUGCGGAGGCAUUGUUGUCAAGCACUGUCUUGUUACAUUCUAGCCAGAUGAUGAGCAAGUUAAUCUCAGUAAAUUGGUUUUCUGGGUUAGUUGCGAAGAUGGUGUGCCACCAAUCACAUAAUGUGACGAGGUGUAAGUGCAUCUAGUGCCAACCCUAGUUGGUUUUGGAGUAUUGACGACAAACCUAGUUGAGGGACUAAUGUAUUUGUGAGAAUUGCAGGAUAACACAGGUAGAAGUCCCUCAUCGAUUCGGUUUUCCUACCAGAGAUGACCCCUAAAAAUGUAUGAAGACAUUGAUGUCAAAGGUGGUAUAUGAAGAUAUUCACAUUAAAGACUAUGACAAGAGAAGACACCGCAUGAAGCCUAUGGAGCUCGAAGACUUAGAUCUUUCGUAGUUCUUUUUCUUCUGUGUUGAGUCAUAGAAACCACCGUACUGUUAAGUGGGGUCCAAGAGAACCAGUCAGAAUGACUGAAAUGAUGCUUAAACAAAACAUAUGCCUUCGAGUGAAGACUAUGAGAGCGAAUCUUGUCCAGAGUCGGACAAGUCAGCUUUGCUUAUAGCCCAAGUAAAGUUGCCGUGUGAGUUUGAAAUCUGACCGUUGGAACAUGUGUCAGUUCCUUAGUGACCCAGGGUCAUUUCAGACAAAUCAGGUCGGGUUGCCUAGUGGCUAUAAAUAGCCCACCCCCUACAACCAUAAACGGUUGGCUGCUCAGAUUCAGAGUACGGCUUUUGUCGUUUGAGAGCAACCCACCUCGAAGCCUUCGAGAGAGAAUUCCUUGCGAGGAUAAAGCCCUAACCAUCCAGAGCCAAAGAGAAUUAGGCAUCACUUAAGUCUUCUUGUCUGUGUGAUCUGAAGACUUAUUACACUUGAGGACUGUGCAUCCUCCAGCCGGUUAGGCGUCGCGUUCUGAGCAUCCAAGAGACAUUGUGGAUCGCCGGUGAACGAAGUUUGUGAAGGUUUUGGAGUCUACCUUGAAGACUUACCAGAGUGAUUGGGCGAGGUCUAUGUGACCUUAGCUCAAGGGGAAUACGGUGAGGACUGGGUGUCCUGAGCUGCGUGUUCAGGACUGGGUGUCCGGGACUGUGUGUCCUUAGGUUUAAAUACCUAGCCGCCCUAACCAGACAUAUAGUUGUCACAGCAACUGGAACUGAUGGAACAAAUCAUUGUCUUCAACGAGUCACUAGUUUCAUCCUUCCCUUCUCCUUACUUACUGUUACUCCUUGUGAAGUUAUUGUAUGUCUGCACUAUCUUUUGUCUUCACUGAGUGACUAUGUGAUCUGUUUGGCUUCUUAAUAUCUUCCUACCUGAUCCUUACUACCUAGCUGCUAUUAGUCAUUGUGCUUUCACUUCAUUGAAUACAUGACUAUGGUUUAUCUAGUGUAGUCUACCUUCCGCUGCAUGGUAAUAGGUUUAUUUCUAUCGUUUGUCUUCGAAACUUUCAUAUUUUGAAGACUUUCAUAAAAUCGCCUAUUCACCCCCCUCUAGUCGAUAUAACGCACUUUCAAUUGGUAUCAGAGCAAGGUGCUCCCUUGUUCUGUGUGGUUCGGUUUAACCAUCUGAAGUUUUAGCUAUGUCGACUGCAGGGAUAAUUAAAGUCUCCGCUGUGUGCCCCGUCUUCGAUGAAACUGAAUAUCCCUACUGGAAGAAUAAGAUGCGCAUGCAUCUUGAAGCCAUUGACGUCGACCUAUGGUAUGUCGUCAAGAACGGCGUUCCCAAGGCUGGAGAAGGUGUCACUGCUGCUGAUGUCAAGAAGUUCGUUCAACUGGACUCUACUGUCAAGAAUAUCAUCUGUGGUCAUCUGACCAAAGUACAGUAUGGCCGUGUGAGUGCUUUGAAAACAUCUAAGUUGGUCUGGGACUGGCUCUCCAAGGUCAACGAAGGCGUCUCAACCCAGAGAGAUCAGAGAAUCAGUGUCAUUCGCAACCUCUUCAACCGCUUCAAGCGAAAUGACAAUGAGAAUGUCCAGCUCACGUUUGACCGACUCACUGACAUCACAAAUGAGCUUCAAGCCCUCGGCACCACUGAGAUCACCAAGCAUGAAGUCAUCAAGACACUACUGAGAUCACUUAACAGUUCGUUUGACAGCCUAGCCCUGAUGAUUUAAGAACGACCUGAUUUCAAGACACUCGAUCCGUCCGACAUACUUGAGAGGCUCAACACACAUGAGUUUCAGCUUUCUGAGAAAAGAGAUAUCUACGGUCCAAACUAUGGGCGAACUCGUGCCUUGAAGGCAAAAGCUGUCUCCUCAUCUGAAGAAGAAUCUGAUAGCAGUUCUGAUGAUCCUGAAGACAUUGGAAAGGAACUUGCUAUGCUUGUGAAGAAGUUCCAAAAAUUCACCAAGAAGAAAGGCUUCAGAAAGUCUUCACGAUCAAGCUCAAGGAAUGAUGAAGCUUCUGCUCAUGACUACAAGAAGAAAACAUGCCACAAGUGCAAGAAAACUGGCCACUUCAUCUCUGAGUGUCCGCAGUGGGACAAUGAGAACAGAAAGAAGAAGAAGAGCAAGUAAUAUGACUCUGACGACAAGAAGAAGAAGAAAUACUCAAAGUCCUCUUCCAAGUCUUCCUCAAAGUCUUCAUCACACAAGAAGAGCUCAUCUGGCAAGGCACGUGUGUUUGUCGGCAAGGAAAUGGAUUCAGAGGAGGAGUCCGCUUCUGAGGAGGCGGAGGUGGAGUCUGAGGAGGAGUCCGAUUCUGGCGUUGCAAGUCUGGCUACAGCAUACGUUCCCAAGUCCAUCUUCAACACUAAAGACAAUGACUUCACCAUCGACACCGAUGCAAAUGACAAGGACUACUCUACUCCUACCUACUGCUUCAUGGCACGCGGUGCCAAGGUAAACACACGCACUACUCACUAUCAAACAUCUAGUGAUGAUGACUCUGAUUGUGAUUCAAGACCCAGCUACAAAACACUUGCUAAAAUUGCAACUGAACAACAGAAAGCCAUGGAACAUAUUCAAAAACUGUUAGACAAAAGCGAUGAUCUGUUGGGCGCUGAAAUGACUCGGUCUGAGUCCUUAAUUGAAGACAUAAAAAAUCUUCAUGUUAAGUAUGAGGAACUUGAAAGUCGUCAUGAAACGCUCUCAACAACUCAUGAAAAGCUUUCCUAUGAUUAUCUUCAAAGGAAGCAAGAUCUUGAGAAAUUGAGAGCGGCUCAUGAAGAUCUUCAAAAGGAAAACGAGUCACUUCGCGCCGAACAGAUCAGUUCCGCUCAGGAAGGAUUUGAACCACCAUGUCCUAAAUGCAUUGAGCGUGAUAAUGCUACUUCUGUUGCUGAAUGUUCUACUGUUGCUACUGUUGCAAUUUCUUCAACUGUUGAUGUGGUAACUAACCCCUCUGCUGAGGAUACCACUGCUAUUGCUGAUGAGAAUGCUAGGUUGAAGACAUUGCUUGAAACAGGGAUGUACAAAAUUCUUAAAGGGCGUCAGACACUAUGUGAUGUCCUCAAAAGGCAGAUUCUGAACCGAAACCCGAGGAAAGAGGGUGUUGGGUUCAUAAGGAAAAUGAAUGUUGAUGGCUCUUACUGGAAACCCGAGCAGUAUCCCAAAACCACAUGGGUUGCUGCAAAGGAACCUUCAGCUGAUCCAUCCAAUCUAUCUGGCUUCACUUGUGCUAACCCCAUUGUCAUCGAUGAAUCCUUUGAUGCAAACUAUAAACUGUUUAAGAAUCAGAAUGGUGAAGUGUUUGCCAGGUACAUUGGUACUAACUGCAGGAAUGGACCGCCUAUGAAGAAGAUCUGGGUGCCCAAAAGGUGUUUGGAAAAUCUUCCUGUGAAUGUCAUCAUGACACCACAGAUGAAGAAGACAAACCCCAGACCACAGGCUUCAUACGGCCCAAAGGCUUCAUACAGACAGAGGACUCACCUGAGUCGCACUAACGCAAAUGUUUUGCAGGGAAACCAUACUCAGGCCUAUGAAUAUGAGCGCGGUUCAUCGAACCGCCAUGUUCAUAAGACCAAAACCUAUUCUGCUUAUUCUUAUGAGUAUUAUUGUCCGCCUGCAAGACUUUUUGCUAGGGCUCCAAAGCCAAAGUUUUCAGACGCUGCACUUAGACUUAUCGCUUCUAAGCCACCCUUGAAGAUGUGGGUGGUUAAGAAGGCUUAACUCUCUUUUGCAGGGAAAGGUCUCCAGCAGAAAACCAAAAUCUUCUGACGCUAUUGCUGGGGACCUUAAACAUCUUGUAGGCUGCAAGAUCAAAUGCCCGAAUGGUCUUACUAUGUACUUCGUUCCUGAAUUGCUUGCUACUCUCCCUAUCAGUCCUAAUCUGGAUCUAAGCUUUCAUAACCCACUGGUUCGUCAAAUGUUUUUGCUUCACAAUUCUCUUCGUGAAGCCUAUCCCCCUAACUGCACUAUAGGGUACGACACCAGCGUCUACAGAAUGGAUUAUUGAUAGUGGGUGUACAAAUCACAUGACUGGCAAAAGAAGCCUUCUUAUGGACUCAACCUUACGUCCAUCCGACAAGAGCCACAUCACAUUUGCUGACACUGGUAAAAGUAAGGUAUUGGGUCUAGGUAGAGUUGCAAUCUCAAAGGAUCAACACAUGGAUAAAGUCAUGCUUGUUGAAUCCCUUGGCUUCAACUUAAUGUCUGUCUCAAUGCUUUACGAUUUGAACAUGAUCGUAAUAUUUGGAAAAUAUCGUUGCCUUGUUCUAAUGGAAUCUGAAAAGUCUCUAGUAUUUGAAGGGUAUCGAAAAGAUGAUUUGUACGUGGUAGAUUUCUCAGCAGGACCACAGCUUGCCGUAUGUCUUCUAGCAAAAGCUUCAGAAUGCUGGCUCUGGCAUCGGAGGCUUGGGCAUGCUGGCAUGAGGAACCUCCACACCCUUGCAAAGAAGAAGCAUGUCAUAGGCAUCGAGGGCGUCAAGUUCAAGAAAGAUCACUUAUGCGGUGCCUGUGAAGCAGGAAAGAUGACGAGGGACAAACAUCCCUCGAAGACAAUCAUGACUACUACUCGACCCUUCGAACUGCUUCACAUGGAUCUUUUCGGUCCCACUCAUUACUCAACUCUUACUACUACUGCUUGUCUCUAUGGCUUUGUCAUUGUUGAUGAUUAUUCUAGAUAUACUUGGGUGCACAUAAUCCUUUACAAGACUGAAGUGCAGGAUGUCUUCAGACGCUUCGCCAAUUGAGCAAUGAACAACUAUGGCGCCAAGAUAAAGCACAUCAGAAGUGACAAUGGCACUGAAUUCAAGAACACUGGCCUUGAUACAUAUCUUGAUACCUUGGGCAUCACACAUGAAUUCUCAGCCCCGUACACGCCACAACAGAAUGGCGUCGUCAAAUGCAAGAACAGAACACUCAUUGAGAUGGCCAGAACGAUGCUAGAUGAAUACAAGACUCCAAGAAAAUUCUGGCCUGAAGCCAUUGAUACUGCAUGCCAUACAAUCAAUCGUGUUUAUCUUCACAAGCUUCUGAACAAGACAUCUUAUGAGCUUCUUACUAGCAAGAAGCCAAAUGUCAGUUACUUCAGAGUAUUUGGCGCCAGGUGCUGGAUCAAGGACCCACAUCACACUUCAAAGUUUGCACCAAAAGCACAUGAGGGUUUUAUGCUUGGAUAUGGAAAGGAUUCGCACUCCUACAGAGUCUUCAAUCUCUUUCAUUAUAAAGUGGUUGAAACAGUGGAUGUGCGGUUCGAUGAGACUAACGGUUCAUAAAGAGAGCACCUGCCAAAUGUGCUAGAUGAAGUUCCAUCCAGUGAAUCAAUCAAGCUAAUGGGAACUGGAGAAAUCAUACCUUCUGAAGCUCAUCCUGAAGAGGAACUUAUCAUCUCCGCACCAGACUGUAAGUGCAUCUAGUGCCACCCCUAGUUGGUUUUGGAGUAUUGACGACAAACCUAGUUGAGGGACUAAUGUGUUUGUGAGAAUUGCAGGAUAACACGGGUAGAAGUCCCUCAUUGAUUUAGUUUUACUACCAGAGACGACCCUUAAAAAUGUAUGAAGACAUUGAAGCCAAAGGUGAUAUAUGAAGAUGUUCACAUUGAAGACUAUGACAAAAGAAGACACGUUAUGAAGUGUAUGGAGCUCGAAGACUUAGAUCUUUCGUAGUUCUUUUUUCCUUUGUGUUGAGUCAUAGGAACCACCGUACUGUUAAGUGGGGUCCAGGAGAACCAGUCAGAAUGACUGAAGUGAUGCCUAAACCAAAAACCUAUGUCUUUGAGUGAAGACAGUGAGAGCGAAUCUUGUCCAGAGCCGGACAAGUCAGCUUUGCUUGUAGCCCAAGUAAAGUUGCCAUGAGAGUUUGAAAUCUGACCGUUGAGACACGUGUCAGUUCCUUAGUGACCCAGGGUCAUUUCGGACAAAUCAGGUCGGGUUGCCAAGUGGCUAUAAAUAUCCCACCCCCUACAACCAUAAACGGUUGGCUGCUCAGAUUUCAGUGCACGGCUUUUGUCGUUUGAGAGCAACCCACCUCGAAGCCUUUGAGAGAAAAUUCCUAGCGAGGAGAAAAGCCCUAACCAACCAGAGCCAGAGAACAUUGGGCAUCACUUAAGUCUUCUUGUCUGUGUGAUCUGAAGACUUAUUACACUUGAGGACUGUGAAUCCUCCAGACGGUUAGGCGUCGCGUUCAGAGCAUCCAAGAGACAUUGUGGAUUGCCAGUGAACGAAGUCUGUGAAGGUUUGGGAGUCUACCUUGAAGACUUACCAGAGUGAUUGGGCGAGGACUAUGUGACCUUAGCUCAAGGAGAAUACGGUGAGGACUUGGUGUCCUGAGCUGCGUGUUCAGGACUGGGUGUCCGGGACUGUGUGUCCUAAGGUUUAAAUACCUAGCCGCUCCAACCAGACAUACAAUUGUCACAACAACUGGAACUGGUCCAACACAUCAUUGUCUUCAACGAGUCACUGGUUUCAUCUUCACUUCCUUUUUCUUACUGUUACUCAUUGUGAAGCCAUUGCAUGCUUGCUCUAUCUUUUGUCUUCAUAACGUGAAUGUAUGAUCUGUUUGGCUUCAUAACUUCUUCCCACCUGAUCCUUAUUACACUACAGCUGUUUGUCAUUGCGCUUUCACUUUAUUGAAUACUUGACCAUGGCUGGCCUAGUGUAAUCUAACUUCCGCUGCAUAGUAAUAGGCAUAAUCUUCGCUGUUUGUCUUCAUAACUCCCACGUUUUGAAGACUUUCAUAAAAAUCGCCUAUUCACCCCCCUCUAGUCGAUAUAACGCACUUUCACAGACCAACCUGAAGACAAUGCUCAACCUAAAGACAAUCCCUCUAACAACGACAAUGAUCAGCAAGAGCAAAAUCUUCGCCCUGUACAUCCUCGUGUUGCCAAUGAAGUGCAGAUUGAGAGAAUAAUUGACAGCAUCAAUGCACCUGGUUCGCUCACUCGAUCAAGGGCAACUCAUCUAGCAAAUUUCUGUGGGCACUUCGCAUUCGUCUCAAUAACAGAACCCAAGAAAGUUGAAGAAGCCUUCAUGGAACCUGAAUGGAUUCAAGCUAUGCAAGAAGAGCUUCAACAGUUUGAGCUGAAUAAUGUAUGGGAACUGGUUAAGCGUCCUGAUCCUCGGAAGCACAACAUAAUAGGCACAAAAUGGAUAUACCACAACAAGCAAGAUGAGCAUGGUCAAGUUGUCAGAAACAAAGCUCGUCUCGUUGCUCAAGGAUAUACUCAAGUGGAAGGCAUUGACUUCGAUGAAACAUUUGCUCCUGUGGCUAGACUUGAAGCCAUACGCAUACUGCUGGCCUAUGCCAAUCAUCACAACAUACUUCUAUAUCAAAUGGAUGUAAAGAGCGCCUUUCUCAAUGGCAAGAUUGAAGAAGUGUAUGUUGCACAACCGCCUGGCUUUGAAGAUCCAAAACAUCCUGACAUGGUAUACAAGCUCAACAAGGCACUGUAUGGCCUCAAACAAGCCCCUCGGGCCUGGUAUGACACACUCAAAUACUUCCUGAAGAGCAAAGGCUUCAUACCUGGUUCCCUCGACCCCACUCUCUUCACGAAGACAUAUGAUGGUGAACUGUUUGUGUGCCAAAUAUAUGUGGAUGCCAUUAUCUUCGGCUGCACCAAUCAGAAGUACACUGAAGAGUUUGGAUAUAUGACGCAAGAGCAAUAUCAGAUGUCCAUGAUGGGAGAGCUGAAGUUCUUUCUCGGUCUUCAAAUACGACAGCAACGCAAUGGCAUCUUCAUAUCUCAAGAGAAGUACCUCAAAGAUUGUCUGAAGAAGUUCGGUAUGCAAAACUGCAAAGGCUUCACGACGCCAAUGCCAGCCAAGCAUCAUCUGGGUCCUGACGACAAUGGUAAAGAGUUCGAUCAAAAGGUAUACCGCUCCAUGAUUGGUUCUUUGCUUUAUCUAUGUGCAUCUAGGCCAGAUAUUAUACUUAGUGUUUGCAUGUGUGCUCGAUUUCAAGCGGCACCAAAGGAGUCGCAUCACUUAGCUGUGAAGCGAAUUCUUCGAUAUUUGGCUCACACCCCAACUCUAGGAUUAUGGUAUCCAAAGGGCUCAGAGUUUGAUCUGGUUGGAUUCUCGGAUGCUGAUUAUGCUGGUGACAAGGUGGAUCGCAAGUCUACAUCAGGCACAUGUCAUUUUCUGGGACGAUCACUUGUAUGUUGGUCUUCAAAGAAGCAGAACUGUGUAUCUCUCUCCACUGCUAAAUCUGAAUACAUUGCUGCUGGAUCUUGCCGCGCUCAGCUUCUGUGGAUGAAGCAAACCCUCAAGGACUAUGGCAUUCAUCUGAAGCAAGUGCCACUCUACUGCGACAACGAAAGCACCAUCAAGAUUGCCAACAACCCAGUUCAGCACUCGAAGACAAAGCACAUUGAAAUUCGUCAUCACUUUAUCAGAGAUCAUGUUGUGCAGGAAGAUAUUGAUAUCAUACAUGUCAACACUGAAGAGCAAUUGGCAGAUAUCUUCACCAAGCCCUUGGAUGAGAAGAGAUUUUGCAAGUUACGGUGUGAGCUAAAUAUCCUGGAAUCCUCAAAUGUCCUGUGAUCAGGCACACAUCCUAACACUUAUGCAUAUUGAUGACUUAGAUGUGCAACACACGAAGUAAAGUAUAUCUUCAAUCAAUGAAGACAUACAUUCUAAGUGUGAAUGCAUUAAUGUGGAAUUUGACUUCGGAGUGCCACGAUAAUUGUGCGUCGUGUCUGGGUCUACUACUUCCUAUACGGUGGGUAACGCCACCACCAAACGUUCUGUUUGAAGCGUGUUACUCAUGGCGUUACAUUUGCUAUGUCUUCACAUUUGAUUUGGCUUCAAUCUCAACAUGUCUUCAUGAUUAUCUUCACUAUGUUGAUUAUAUAUAUAUAUAUACUAGUGUUCUGUCCUCUACAGCAUUCACUUAUAGCUAUGUCUUCUUGUUGAAUCUUUUGAACUAAGUGAAUGUGAUCGGACCCUAACCUCUCUAUGCUUUCUAUCUCAAACUCUAUCUCUCCAAAUCAUAUGCAUUCUAUUGAAACUGUCGGAUGUCUUCUCUGCGUCCUUGUCAGUAGAAGAUACAGAGACAAACAUUAAGUCCGUUUUCAAUGCUCAUUCCUUCACAUGAAACCCGGAGAAGUGGGAACGACCACCCGACAAUCCAGGCAUGCGUGGGACGUGGAACAAACCCUAAUAUGCUGCAUGAUGGCCACAUGUUCCUCAGAUGCGAAUCGCCAGGGGCACCUGUGUAAUAACGCAGUGCCGCCCCUGUACCUAUAAAUACACACUUCACAGCGGUCAUUAUCUCUUCUUCCACUCUCGCACGAACCCUAGCGCCACCGCUAGCCCUCGACGACGCCGGCGACGAAGCGCUUCGCUACCGCAACCUCUCCGACGCCGUCUUCACGCCGACCGCGAACAUCAUCCUCUCCGCCGUCGCCGUAGGUGUCCUCCGUCGCCAAGUUAGGGCAUGGAAGAUCGAACUGACUCGGCCUCCUCUUCCACUCCGUCUAGCAGUUCCUAGUGUGGUAAAUAAAACUUCCUUUUUACGACCCCUUUGAUCCUAUGGCUUUGUCACUUUCUACCACAAGUAGUUUCUAUUCACACAAGUUGGAUCUCUUUCAUACUGCAUCUCAUAACAUGCCUAGUAUAUUCACUUAUGCGUCACAAAGUAGUUAGAUUCCUCACUUGUACUGAUCUCUGGAUUCGUACAAAUCUGGAGCCAACUCCUUAUCUAUAAGUGAAUGUCUUCGCACGAUGAGGUCAAUGUCUUCUAAACUGAUUUAUCUUCAAAAUCUUCUGAGAAUGCAUAUGACCUCUUCCCCUUCCCUCGCACCUUAAUGCUGUCACAGGUACAUGUCUGUGGGAGAAUCCCUUGGUUCUCAUAGUCUGCAUUCAUUUGCAGAAUUCUUACAGCAUCAUAUAAAUUCUCCCGAAGCCAGUUCCUGUUUGUCCAGCAAGCGAAAGCCUUUAAACGUAUUGAAGCCUUUCAGUAUAAAGUUCAUGGCUUCAGAGAAAUCAGCAAGGAAGGGUGGCAGAAAGCGUCGUGGAGAAACAUCCAGAGAUCUGUCGGAUCACCUCUCAGAACUGUACAAAAUAGAUCUUGAAGAGGAUUACAAUCAGCGCAAAACACGAAUCCAAUGGAUUCGACGCUAUUGGGAAGAACGGUGGUUCAAGUACAGAUUUGUGACAAAGGAAUAUGCUGAAAAGAAUGCCAUCAAGCGACCAUGGGGAGACAUCCUCUACAAAAAUCUUCAACCCAGGACCAGAGAUGAAGCCAUUGAACAAGGCUUCUAUCCCUGCAUGGUCCGUGGACCACAGCCUGCGGAUGCUGACCCCUCAUCACUGCUAUGGUGUCGUGACGACAUUCUGUUCAAGCGCAACUUUCAGUUUGCCCAGAACUCAGCGAAGCAGAACAAGAAGACAUUGGGACUAGACUUCAACCCUGGUCCUUCUGCUCCAAGGGCUGAUGGCACACGGGAUGCAGAACCCAAUGUCGUCGGUCCUUUCUACAACCUUGAAGGUCUCAUCACCCAUAUCUUGGUUUAAGGGACAGCCGUGAAUGAGCCUGCAGCUGACGCUGAAUCAGAUGAAGCGCCUGCAGCGCCGAAGCCAAAGAAGUUGAAGAAGCCUAAAGCUUCAAAGCCUGCCCCUUCACCAAAAAUCUCACGGGCGAAGCCACUGGCAACUGCACCUCCUGAAGACAGUGUGCAGUCUGAAGAUUUGUCACGCAUCUCCAAGCCCCAGAAGGUCAAGAUGCCUCUGCCACACACCGGCCAAGAGCUAACUGCUGCUGCCAUUCUGCGCAAUGAUGCCAUUGAUCUAUCAAGUGAUGAAGAUCUUGUAGAUGACGCUCUUGAGCAACUCAUCAAGAGCAAAGAAGAAGCAGAAAUCUUCAAUGAUCUACCGCUCUUUGAUGUAACAAUCAUCCACAACUUCAUUGAUGAGUGGUUUGACACGCCAAACAUCAGCUUCGAAGAUCUCCAACUACCCAUUGACCUUAGUGUCGCCUUCCAUGGCGCCAUUGCUUCAGAGUUAGCCAUCGCCCAGCGCAUUGUUGAACUGAAGCAGAAGAUUGACUUUGAGAAAUCUCAGUCCAAGAAGCAUAUGGCCAAGCUCGGCGUGAAAGACGUGAAGAACUUCAAGAUUAUACUGCACGAGCUCAAGGAAGCCUUUCUAAAAAACGUGCAGAAGCUCAGGGUUCUCGUGAGCGCAUGAAGGUCCUGGCUGAUAGGUGUGUGCAAGCCUACAAUGAGGCUGAGAAGCGCAAGGCCCUAGGGCGUCUUGGCAUCGACCCCAGGAUGGCUGCCAAGAAGAAGAAGAAGCCCUCUAUGGCUGAACCCGGAGCACCAAGGCAGGAAGCAGAUCCCCUUGUCUUCCCAACUAGCAUGACUGGCCCGAAGCCAAAGGCCAGGUCAACCGCUUCAGAACUGAAGAAGACCAAGACUGCUGAGGCUGGAGCAAGGAAGAGGAAACAUCCUGAAGCCUCUGCUACUGCCCCCUCCAAGAAGAAAAGAAAGACCAAGAAGGAACGGGCUGCUCCCACAGAGCCCUUGAUUGUUGAACCCAUUUCCAUGGUUCACCCUGACGCUGAUCCACAAAAACGUCAACUGACUAUCCAUGAGCCUGCUUUCACAGAGGCUCAUGAAGCUGAAGACUUUCCAGCAGCUGAUCCCAUCGCUGCUGAAGACAUUGGUCCCCAUGACCAUGUUGAAGAUGAUGCAGUCCUUCCUCAGCUAGAGCACCAAUAGGUAUCAUCGCCUGUGCUAACACACAACGAACUCAUCAGCAUUGGUCGUCCACUGACGCCAAUUGCACAGGAUGCUUCAUGGGCUGAUCGCCCACAAGAGGAAGAAGACUUUGAGGCCCAGCCAACACCAACUCCACAGGCGUCGCCCGCGCUGCGCAGGCUUCACAAAGGGCCAAGGCCUCAAGUCUCUGCGUCUGAAGCUAAACCUGCUGAAGAUAUUCCAGAUGCAUCAGCCGAUGAAGAAGAAGUCCCACAAGUUGCUACUCCCCUGUCCCACCAAGAAGCGGUUCUCGAGGAGAACGUGAUUGUGACCGACCCUCCAGCUCCUCAAGUGGAGGCUGAAAAUCUUGAGGCUGCCACCACCAAUACCAUUGAAGCCACUGACGCUGUCAUGGCUGAAGCUAAUGUAGAGCCCUCACCACCAAAAGCACCAGAAGUUAGCGAAGCCACUGAUCCCACUGCUUUUGUUCCUGCGUCUGCUGCCGGUCCCCAGUUCGACUAUCAUGUUGAGCACAGGCCUCAGGUACAGAAGCCAAUCCCAAGAUUGCCCAGGUUCCCAGGUCCUGCAUCAGCACCUGGCUCCUUUAAUAUCAAUGGCUUCAGAGCAGACAACACAUUCUUCAAUAGCUCCAGGAACCCCUACUCAAGGGAAAGAAUAUCAUUUGAUCGGUUCUGGAGCUAUCCGCAGCGAAGCUAUUACUCAUGUGUUCUUUACAACCAAGGUCGCAUCUUCCCACACAAGCGCCUUGACAUUGAAGCAAUAGCUGGUCUGCCCUGUCUGGAAGAAGCUCUGGAUUGCUUCAAAGAGGUUGGACUGCUGCCGUUCGUCACUGACCAAGAGCAUUGGAAUGAAGAGUUGCUGCUCCAAUUCUAUGCCACACUUCACAUCCGCGGGUAUAACAGAGAUCCGAAGACUUGGGUCCUGGAGUGGAUGACAGGAAACGUUCAUCACGAAGCCAAAGCCUUUGACAUCAUUGAGCUCACUAGUUUGCCCACUCCUGGUGAUCUCUACGAGCAUGGCUGUCAGCUUCAUAGUGAAGCUGUUGAGAGCAUCUUUCAGAAGACUGAACCUAAUAUGAGUCAGAUGCUCAGUAUGAUGAAGCCAUUGCCCCAAGAUGCUGCUUAUCCCACGGAGUUCUUUGUUGAAGACCUUGAGUAUCUGCCAAGGACCAUUUAUCACAUCAUAAGGCGAACUCUCUGGCCAAUCAAAGGACAUUCUCCCCAUGCCAAGCUGGAAGGUGCAAUGAAGACUUUGGUCUUCUAUAUUCUUCAUGGAAAAUGCUUCAAUACACAGGAUUUCUUCAUUCGCCAACUUGCUGCAUCAGGCUAUGAUCUGUUUGGCUUGAAGUUCUACGCCCCUUGGGUGAUGCAGCUGAUCAAACUUCACUCCUCUAUCUCAUAUCAGCCAUCUGCCCGCAAUCAUUGGAUCUUUUUGCCUGAUGUGGAUAUGUCUAUUGAAGCCAUAUAUCCUGAGCCUGCCAAGGAACCUCUAAGUCUUCAGAAUGCAGAGCAUCAAAGUUUUUCUCAGAACGUUGAAGGCGUUGAAGCAGUAACUCGUGUGUAUCGUUUGGCUGGCACUACACGUGCACCGCAUCCUGCUCUCACUGAAGCCACUGAUAGCACCAUUGCCCAACGACCCAAGAAGUGCACUCGUGUUCUCAAUGAUUGAGAUCUUCUGGUGGCUCUUCAUCAGAAACAGGAUAGGCAUCAUGACUGGCCGAAGCGUCAAAUGCAAAGUCUCUUGGUGGAUGUUAAUCGCAUUCGCAAUCUUCUUCACUGAGCGAUUCAAGUUUGACUCCACACCUCCUCGAAGGGCAGUGCUGCGACGAACUCCAUCACUUGAAGACUCUGAGUUCUCUUCCUCUGCUGCAACUGUGAAUGCCAGAGUGAUCGAGGAUGAAGACGAUGCUACUUCACCGCCACUUCCUUCAGCACGCGUCGACACUGCUCCAAGUUCUUCUGCACCGCCAAACACCACUGACGACCCUGCUGCUUCACCUACUCUUCAUGGGAAUGAGUAGAUGCUCUAUGUCUUUCAACCUUUUUGGUCCUUACUGACAAAAGGGGGAGAAGCAUAUGAGUUUGAUAGUCUUCAAGCGGGUCCAUAUAGGCGGGUUGCUUUAUAUUUUGCUUCGUGCUUACAACUCUCAUUUUGAUACAUUUGGUUCUUUGAGUUGUAACACUUAAACUUGAUGGUCGUCUGCUACUUAUUUGCCACCUUGCGUUGCGAUGAUAAAUUCCGCAUGGGCGACGAUAAAUUCCGCACUUAGAUCAUUGUGCAGACGUCCAUUUUCCAUUAUGCAUGUCAUUAUCUUCACAUACUUUCACAUGCAUAGUGGAUUGUCAUCAUAAGUUGAAGUGGAUCUCCACAAGCACAACUUGCCAUGUGCAUUUGCAUUCCAAAACCAAAUUACUUAUAUGCACAUCUUCAGGGGGAGCCCUUGCAACUUAUGAAGGCAAUUCCUUAUCCUUUACAAUUUCACAUAUUAUAUUCCCCGUUGAAAACUUCAACUAGUUUGUCAUCAAUCACCAAAAAGGGGGAGAUUUUAAGUGCAUCUAGUGCCACCCCUAGUUGGUUUUGGAGUAUUGACGACAAACCUAGUUGAGGGACUAAUGUGUUUGUGAGAAUUGUAGGAUAACACAGGUAGAAGUCCCUCAUUGAUUCGGUUUUCCUACCAGAGAUGACCCCUAAAAAUGUAUGAAGAUAUUGAUGUCAAAGGUGGUAUAUGAAGAUAUUCACAUUGAAGACUAUGACAAGAGAAGACACCGCAUGAAGCCUAUGGAGUUCGAAGACUUAGAUCUUUUGUAGUUCUUUUUCUUCUGUGUUGAGUCAUAGGAACCACCGUACUGUUAAGUGGGGUCCAAGAGAACCAGUCAGAAUGACUGAAGUGAUGCUUAAACAAAACCUAUGUCUUUGAGUGAAGACUAUGAGAGCGAAUCUUGUCCAGAGUCGGACAAGUCAGCUUUGCUUGUAGCCCAAGUAAAGUUGCCGUGUGAGUUUGAAAUCUGACCGUUGGAACACGUGUCAGUUCCUUAGUGACCCAGGGUCAUUUCGGACAAAUCAGGUCGGGUUGCCUAGUGGCUAUAAAUAGCCCACCCCCUACAACCAUAAACGGUUGGUUGCUCAGAUUCAGAGUACGGCUUUUGUCGUUUGAGAGCAACCCACCUCGAAGCCUUUGAGAGAGAAUUCCUUGCGAGGAUAAAGCCCUAACCACCCAGAGCCAAAGAGAAUUAGGCAUCACUUAAGUCUUCUUGUCUGUGUGAUCUGAAGACUUAUUACACUUGAGGACUAUGCAUCCUCCAGCCGGUUAGGCGUCGCGUUCUGAGCAUCCAAGAGACAUUGUGGAUCGCCGGUGAACGAAGUCUGUGAAGGUUUGGGAGUCUACCUUGAAGACUUACCAGAGUGAUUGGGCGAGGUCUGUGUGACCUUAGCUCAAGGGGAAUACGGUGAGGACUGGGUGUCCUGAGCUGCGUGUUCAGGACUGGGUGUCCGGGACUGUGUGUCCUUAGGUUUAAAUACCUAGCCACCCUAACCAGACGUACAGUUGUCACAGCAACUGGAACUAGUCCAACAAAUCAUUGUCUUCAACGAGUCACUGGUUUCAUCCUUCCCUUCUCCUUACUUACUGUUACUCCUUGUGAAGUCAUUGUAUGUAUGCACUAUCUUUUGUCUUCACUGAGUGACUGUGUGAUCUGUUUGGCUUCUUAAUAUCUUCCUACCUGAUCCUUACUACCUAGCUGCUAUUAGUCAUUGUGCUUUCACUUCAUUGAAUACAUGACUAUGGUUUAUCUAGUGUAGUCUACCUUCCGCUGCAUGGUAAUAGGUUUAUUUCUAUCGUUUGUGUUCGAAACUUCCAUGUUUUGAAGACUUUCAUAAAAAUCGCCUAUUCACCCCCUCUAGUCGAUAUAACGCACUUUCACGAGGACAUUUGCAUGAAGCAAUGGAGCCAAUAAAGGAGCAAAACAAAUAACCAAACAUCCCUUAAGAACGGGCACCAGAGAAGCAUGUGCCGAGAUUCUCCGAGCUUGGUCCCAUGGCUUGCGACAACUAGGGUGUGGAAGCGAGAUAUGUGCAUGAUUGCGUAAGCAAUCAAAGAGAAAUUUCAAAGAAUGAAAAGGCAAAAAGGAGGCGAAGAUGUCUCACAUAGGGGGAGGGGUCCUCUCAUCCAUGAUCCCCAUGGGGGAAACUCUAGGUUCUCAUCAUCGGCUAAACUCGAAAGCUACAUAGCUCUUCUAAUCGCCACCAUUGAUACCAUCAUUACAAUCGAGGGCCUACAAUCCAUGGAAAUCCCUAUUCCGAUCUUCUUUGUUCGGCUUUCACAAGCAAGAUACCUUGAAGCAGGUGACAGUCUAUAGCCCAAAAACUACCCAUGGGAUUUCUUUGUCUUUUCCUUAUCUUUUGUCCGGUGAAGAAUCUCCUGCUGCAGAGAUAAGAUGAAUGGCUUCGAGAUACCAUCACUCGCCCUGACCCGAGUCCCCUAGCCUCUCAGCUUCAGCAGUUGUUGUAAGGAGAAGUAGCAGGAUUGUUAGUUUAUGUGCCGAGCAGGCAAAGGCAGAAGUGGAAGGGUCAAACUCCUCUAUCGGGGAAAGACAGGAAGGAUAAAAGUGUAAAAUCACUACUUCCACUGAUUUCUUGCGGGAAGGUUCUAUAAGGGAAGAAGAAUCAGAGCUGAUGAGAAGAGGGCUGAGUCGUCUAGCUUUUAUUCCAAAAUCACGUAUCACCGAUCAGCCUAUUCGAGAGGAGCUGCUUGCCUUGCCCACUUCAAUAAGGAAGACUCCAUCAAUAAAGAAGAGCUUCUUGUUUCCAAGCGGAACUCGAAUGGGCUGCUAGCAGAUUUGUUGGGGAUGGCAAGUUAACACCGUGGCUUCUUCGCGCAAGCACUUGGUUCGCCCCUUACUAUAACCGCCACAAGUCUAGUAUAGAAUCUGCUCUUUAAGGUCGAGAAUCUGCUCUAGAAGGUCGAUGCUUAAAAAAGAGGUGACCCGAAUGAUUUCAAUGAAUUGCUAUUUGGUCAGAUUGGAACAAUUGGAUUCGAAAGUCUCAGCGGCAAGGAAGAGAAAAUGCAUCGAGUCGUUUAUCAAGAAAGUGGACGAGCAUGGUUGAAGCAGUGGAGUGAAGAGGAGGGUUGGGUCCCGCCUCACAACGAGCCCGGGUAGCUAGACCAUUUUAUUAGAUUUUGCCUCUGCUGAUCCUGCUCAUGCUUUUUUUUCUCAAUUGGUAAAGUCUCUCAGCCUUGCGAAGUGGAAAAAGAGAUGGGCAGCUGCUUUGUGAAUUUGAUACUAGGUAGUUCUCCCCCCUCGGCAGGCAAGUAGCCCUAGCCUUUUAUGAGAGUCAAUUGGGAAGUGGAAAGGCAAGAGGCCUUCUAUAUGUUAAGGGAGAGAGGGGAGAGUCAUUCCAGAGUUGGGUGGGAAUCGUUGAUAGAAAUUUGGAUUUUCCCUGAGAUUACGAAAAAUUGGAUCGGAUUUUGCAGUUCUUUUUUCUGCAGUACCUCGACGUGACAUGAGCGUGAAAGAGGUUCAAGAAUCCGUUUUCUAAAUAUAUAAAAGAGGGGGAAUGGAUUCUACAAGAAAAGGCGGGCAAAGGUAGUUCAGGGAUUGCAAUUUUUCUCGCAUUUUAGUUUUUUCACUCAAACUCAAGGGAGAAACUUUGCUUCUUAUCUUUUUUUUUAAAGAUUGACGAAUAAAAUGAUAUUUCUGUCCACAUGCAUGAGUAGGCCUGUUGCUGGGAUGUCCCAUUAAAAAGGCAGGUCCCAUAUUUGAAAUACAAAAAUAAGAUCAGUGCUAUCAAUAAAUAACUAGCUGACAAUAUGCUAUGCUUACUCUCCGAGCACUAAAGCUAUCGAGAAGUAUCUCCAGGUAACUCCAUCUUUUUCAGCUCUGCUCGCUCACUUUUGAAAGGAAGACUUAGUUUUAGAUCGGCGUUGGUUUUUCCAGAAUCAGUCCGUCCGGUUAAGCAUUGGGGAGCUGAUAGGUCGAACGGAGUGGUGCCAGAGCUCUAAAGUGGCUCUAAAUAUCCAUUUCUUUGAUUUUCCUGUGUGCUUUUUAGGCGGCAUCAUCUAAGUUCGAGAACUUUGGAUACUUAAAGGCUGCAGCACAUGCUAAGUGUUGACUGAGAUUCUUUUUUUCCGACAGGGAAGCCAUGCUCCAUCCUGUUUCUAAAAAGAACAUCACCUCCCUUUUUGGUUAGAUACCGCUCCGUUAGGUACUAAUGCUUCUACCUAUCACCCGGAGGGUGAGUUUGAGAGCUGUGUUUUUUUCCAACGUUAAUAGCAUUCCGCGAGAAAAGUCAUCUACUGAUGUUGUCAGCGGAGUCCCUCGUCCAUCCAUGUAUGAAUAGCGAAUCCCGAAGGGGAGGCUCUAGUUGCCAAGUAAGAAAAGAUCUCGGUAGUUCAAUUCAUGCAUGUGAAAGCUUAUCUGCCAGAUACAGAUGAUACUUGCCACUACUUGACCGAAACUGGGACUUGUUGUGAUAAUAGGCCGGCCAGUCCGGAACGUAGAGCAGAUCUAUCAGAGAACAGGGAGCAGGAAAUUCUUGCUCGUGCCGGCCUGUAUUCGGAGUUUCUUGGAUUUGCGGUGCCUGAAUGCCUUUCUCCUUCUUUUUGGUGACGUCGGAUGCCCGCCUUUGGUGCUCAGAAGUGGAUUCUCCUUCAAAGAGGGCCGGAAUUCGACCCGCUAUUAAUGUGGGUAUUUUAGUUUCCAGAGUAGGAUCCGUGGCUCAAAUUAAAGCCAUGAAACAAGUAGCUGGCAAAUCCAAAUUGGAACUAGCUCAAUUCGCAGAGUGACAAGCCUAUUAUUCGCCUCUGCUCUCGAUAAAACAAGUAUGCUUUAGCGAGUGAACUAGGUUUUUAUUUGAGAGCGAACUAGGUUUUUAGUGGUAUUCCUUCUCAGUCAUCCUUGUUUUGGUACCGGAUUCAACUUGUCGAGGCUUCUGCUCGUAACGUCACUCACUGGAUCAAAUCAAAGGGCUCGGUUUCUGCUCCUCGGCAAAGGCAAAGUCAAUUCAAUAGGAAUCCGAAUUUGGGCGACGGAAUGUGUUUUACAAUAAGUUCCAACGUUUGAGUAAUUGAACUUGCUUCUUCACUUAAUGCUUGCUUUCCGUCUUGCCUUUGCCGGAGGGAUCUCUCUAUGAAUGGAAAAGGGGUGCUUCGGAUCGGGAGUAACCACUUUAGAAAGGGCAAAGGGGGGAAGGACAUAGGAAAGAGGGAUGCCUAGUCUGAAUUUGAAACGCAAUCCGGCAGAGAAAAGAAACUUAAGUAACCACCAGUUGAAACUGAGCGAGGAUGCCUCUCCUAAUGGAAGUUACGGGCCCAAACCGGGUUAUGAGCUCAACGAAAAAAAAACUAUUUUGUGAAAUUGCCUGCAAAACCGCCUUGCGAGCGUUAGCGUCAGCGUCAGCGCCAUCUCCCGAUGGACCUCAAUGAACCAGACCUCGAGAAUUCGUUCAUCCCUUCGCUCCGAGGAUUGGUCGAGUACUUGGCCACAUGCAUGAGUAGGCCUGUUGCCGGGAUGUCCCAUUAAAAAGGCAGGUCCCAUAUUUGAAGAUGGGGCGAGAGAGGGAAAAAACCCUUCGGGAUGGAUCGGGAAAAGUGACCUCCGGCAGCAGCUAGACCCAUAUCUUUUGAUGGCGAGCAUCGAUCGAGAUCCUUCGGUGAAAGCUAGAACCAACUCUGCGAGGAAAGCGCUGGAGAAGAAAACUCAGCAAAGGAGAUUCCUAUCCUUUCUCUAGUUGAAGACUAAUCUGGAUAUUCCCGAAGAUGCUUGAAGCUUUUCCACCAUUUUUCCCCUUUGGCAUUUGGAUCCAUGUUUUCUUUAACGAUCUCCGUGAUAGUAAAGGUUUUUUUGGUAGCCUUUGCUUUUGACGGCGAUGAAAGAAAGAGAACCCCUCCUAUCUUUUGAUCGUGGUCAAAAUCCUAUCCAAGUCCCCUUUUGUCCCGACCAGUAACAAAGGAGAAAUUCCCCUGCUUGUUAGGAGUUCCUUUAGUUUGCAGUUGAGUGCAGCCGGAUGGUUCUCAAUGCCAAUUGAAUCAAUGUUAUUAGCUGUCAAUUUGAACUUUUUGGUAUUUUCCGUUUCUUUGGAUGAUAUGAUGGGUCAAUCAUUUGCUUCAUUAGUUCCAACAGUGGCAGCUGCGGAAUCUGCUAUUGGAUUAGCCAUUUUCGUUAUUACUUUUCGAGUCCGACGAGGUUUAAAGGUACCUUUUCCCGUUGUCUGCUUUGCCUUCGUACGACUUUCCUUGGCAAACUAUCCCAAAAAAGGAAUGGGCUUUUUCAAAAUCAAAGCGUACUCGUCAGGGUUGAGUUGAGGGGGCAGCCCGUGCGCUAAUUGGGCUUCGAGGUGGCUAUACGCGAAAAAAGCUCGCUUUCUACUGAGGCAUGUUCUGUCCUAAACUGGGGAAAGGUAUCUUUUUUCAAUUCGAACAACGGUAUCCCUACCUGGCAAACUAUCCUCGUUUUCGAAGUCCCUAGUUUUGUCCUCUGCUGUAGUAUUCCGGUUAGUAGACGGCUUCCUUUACCCCUACCCGGGCAGACAACCUCCCUCAUUCACAUCAGAAAUGGCAAAGAUUCCAUUUUGGAAAGUCAAUCUCUUUUUGUAUAUAUAUAAAAUAGCAAAAGUACGGUUUGGAGUCUUUUCUUUCUUAUUUGAAAUCGAAAGCAAACAGUACGGGUGGAGGAGUUACCGUGGGCACCGUGUUGGUUCAAUCUCUCUAUAGGUAGUGUGAAAAACCCUCAAUUCAAGAGUUCCUGUUGACGGUCCCAUUCCUUACUCUCUUUUUCAAGCAGAGCCAUUUCUUUCUACUGUCGUCAAAAGAAAAAGAAAAGUACUAAAGGCGAAGGACUCUCCUGGCAAAGAAUCUGAACGAUCUGAGUUCUUUUCUGAGAAAGAAGAAGAUGCAAGGCCUCGGAAGCACCAGACCUAUUCGUUUCACUCGAGAAAGUCAUUUGCUUCACCGGUUCGAUAUGCGAUAUCAAAAUCCGAAGAUACCUGAUGAUAAGUAUGUUAUCGAAGCGUUAAAGCGAGAAUUCACAUCUGUAAAAGAUUCCCACAUUCCGUGAGAUUCGUUGCCUACCAAAGAAAGGUGCAAAUAAUCCAUUUUAUUAGAUUUUGCCUCUGCUGAUCCUGCUCACCGCGGGUGAUUAUGCCCUAAAUUCUCAGGAGUGGUGGAACGGAUUGCUCCUAUCUAGGGUUUCCUAGCUUGCUUUCCUAGAUUUAGCUUUAUCUAUCUUUCCCUCAGGUACCCUUUUCAUCCACUCCUUCAUCCGCUGAUUGUCGCUGUCGAUGCCCAGCUAUUUAGUUUGGAAAGUGUUAAUCCGAGUAGUGAGCCCUGUGGCAUACCUCUGAAGGUACCAACGCUUGUCGUUGUGUUAAUGGAUCAAAUACGUAACCUACCUUGUUUUGUUGACUUAUUGCUUUCCAGCAAAGCGUGCCGGCCCUAUCUCUAAAGCACCAAACUUCCACAUUUUAGGAGAUGCCCUAUCUUCCCUUACUUGAUUAGUUAGAACUUCUCUGUCUCAACUCGUGGACCUAUCUAUCUUCUUCUUUUUAAGAGAUAGGGGUUUGCUAUUCUCAUGGAUUGCUUCAUCAGGAAUGGGUAGAGGAUCGAAGAGGCCAGGGAGUUUUUAAUGUUCUACCUUAGCUUGCUGACAGAUUUGACACUUGUUGACAAAAGAUUCCACUGAUUGAAAGAUUCCUGUCCAAGCAAAUAGUGCAACACAGCCGGAGUCACGAGGCUCGAUAAUGACCAAUGGGUUAGGAUCUGAGGAAGCUUAGUUUGGAUGAUGGAAUAUUCGCUGUUCUGAUUGUUGAGAUACUGCAAAUCCACUUAUCCAACAAUUUCAGUCCAUUUUCCUACUAGACUUGUGGCUUCAGGAGAUGAAAAGCUUGAUGAACCCCGACCCACUAGACCAAGUGAGUGAUGUUGCAUUUCGAGCACAGGCACCUUUGACCUAGCUAAAAAGACAGCAGCGAGCUCCUCGUCGAAAAGCGAAGCGAGCCGCGGAUGUCACGCAUCAGCAUGAUCUUCUGGUUGAAAGUCCUUCUAUUUUGCUCUAGCCAGAUCUCCAAGAGAUUAGCAUCACUAGAGAUCUUAUGUUCUUCUUGCCUUUUGCCUUUGGAAUGAUGGUGUUCUAUGCGACGCCCACAGGUUCCACGACUCCUUCGAGCACAGCUAGAAUGCCAUCAGUUACUAAGCACCCACGAAAAGAGAGCUCCUGGUGCGUUGGGGAUGUGUGUGUUGCUUGUGGCCUCACUUGUCAUCCACUCUAUCACAUUUUCUUCGUCAGGGUCACGUCUUGAGGCUUGGUGUAACUUAAUGGGCUACUCCGCACUGCUGUGGCUGCGUGUUGAUGGCGGGGUGGCCCAUCCUGUGAGGCCCUUAAGGCGUGCUUGAUGUCUAGCAGAUCACACCAGGGUUCAUCGUCGAUGGGGAACCGUAAAACGAUGGCCAUGAACUCAUGUGCCACCGUGACAGCGACAACGAGUUCUCAUUGAUAUGUGAAGCGAGCCAUGUACUUUCGUGCGCCAAAAUAUCUUAACUUGCUUUCUGUUUCUUUCCUCCACGCUGGAGCCAAAAGACUCAAGCAGAUAAAACGCCGCUUCUUGUCCUGAGUGAAAACUCUUCUCCUGAUCUUUAUUGGCCGGGCUUAGUAGCAACGAACUUGCGUCAUUUCCUUGUUGAAAGCGUUGUCUACUUGUUGUUGUGUUGAUCUCAUUGGUUGGUCUCGACAAGCAGGAUGAAAAUCAUUGUCCAGGGUGUCCCCGGCCGGACAUGGCGAUGAUUGCGCAAGAACGUUUACUCCCUCUUGAAGGUGUUUUUUGGAAAAUUCAACUUAGCCAUAUGUGUUUUUCAUAUAUUGUAACUGUUCAACGGUGAUUGUGUGCAUCACUAUAAUGCAGAGGCCGGUGGUUCGAACCUCCUUUUGGAGAAGAAAACGACACGAUGAGAAAGUUCUUCAGUUCCAUUAAUGCAGAUAAUUUAGUUAACAAUAUCUUCCUCGCCAAUAAUCAUCCGGGUCUCGUCAAUCCAAUCUAAAGUUUUCAAUAUUGAUACUGUUUCUGGUAAUUGUUAUGUUAUCUUAAUGUGUCUAAGAGCAUCUACAAACGGGCACCCUAAAUCCCCUUCAAACACCCGGGCGGACGGCCCAGCCAGUGACCGGUAAAAAAACCUCGUAUCCAUCCCAAAUGUGGGGCGGAUAUGGGGAGGCUCGGGCGCGACCGAGCGCGUCCGCCACGUCGGACUGGCGAUGGGGUCCCAUACAAAUACACUUUGAAACCCGGCGGUCUGAAGCUCGUCUCCUCCAUCGGACUGAUGGUGCCGUGUGGCGCCACUCUGGCGGGCGGUGUAGUGCCCUAGCUCGGCUAUUUCAACCAACUGCCGGCACUGAAACCCUAACCGUCCACAUCUCCCCCCUCUCGUCCGCCACCGUCAACACUUUCCAAUCUCCAUCUACCACUGAGGGAGUCCUGGAUAAGGGGUCCUCGGGCGUCCGGCCUGUUAGCCAUGGGCCGGACUGAUGGGCUGUGAAGAUACGAAGACCGAAGACUGCACCCGUGUCCGGAUGGGACUCUCCUUGCAUGGAAGGCAAGCUUGGCGACCGAAUAUGUAGAUUCCUUUCUUUGUAACCAACCUUGUGUAACCCUAGAUCCUCCCGGUGUCUAUAUAAACCGGAGGACUUAGUCCGAAGAGAGAGAGAGAGAGACAUUAUCAUAACCAUACAAGCUAGACCUCUAGGGUUUAGCCAUUACGAUCUCGUGGUAGAUCAACUCUUGUAAUACUCAUAUUCAUCAAGAUCAAUCAAGCAGGACAUAGGGUAUUACCUCCAUAGAGAGGGCCCGAACCUGGGUAAAACAUAGUGUCCCCUGUCUCCUGUUACCAUUGACCUUAGACGCAUAGUUCGGGCCCUCCUACCUGAGAUCCGCCAGUUUUGACACCGACAUUGGUGCUUUCAUUAAGAGUUCCACUGUGCCGUCAUUCAGAGGUUCGAUGGCUCCUUCAACCAAAUACAACGAUGCUGCCCAAGGAGGAGUUUUCCUUCCUGGACAGAUCUUCGUGUUCGGCGGCUUCGCUGUGCGGGCCCACUCGCUUGGCCAUCUGGAGCAUAUCGAAAGCUACGCCCUAGCCAUCAGGUCAGAUUUGGGAGCUUGAACUACGUUGCGGACAUCCAUGGGGACUUGAUCUUCGCCGGAUUCGAGACCGCGGCUACCACUCCUGGCCACCCCGAGGGACAUGACCUAAAUCUGUCAUCGGAGCGCAUCCAGGAGACAGCUCCCAUAACCGCUCUGGCCUUAGAUCCAGAGCAAACUGCGCCAUCCAAGGACGGGAGGUUCGACCCCACCACGGAGGCCACAGAUUUCACGGUGUUGGAGCUGCACAUAGACUUGAUCUCACACGAUAUCCGUUGACGGUGUCCUGGACUAGGGGGUACUCACCACGUCAUCUCCCGAUCUGUUAGAUUGGGCCGAAGACCCCCGUGGCCGUAUACUCAUGGGUCAGUUCGGACAGCUGGCGCAUACAAGGAAGAUUCCACAAGACUUAGUGAUCAAGACAAGGACUCCUCCCCACCGGCGUACUCGGCUAGGACUCUUGUUAUCCUAGGCCUCUGGUGCAUUAUAUAAACCGAGGCCAGGCUAGUCGAUAGAUCAUAUACAACAACAAUCAUACCAUAGGCUAGCUUCUAGCGUUUAGCCUCUACGAUCUCAUGGUAGAUCAACUCUUGUAAUACUCAUAUCAUCAAUAUCAAUCGAGCAGGACGUAGGGUUUUACCUCCAUCAAGAGGGCCCGAACCUGGGUAAAACAUCAUGUCCCCUGCCUCCUGUUACCAUCCGCCUUAGACGCACAGUUCGGGACCCCCUACCCGAGAUCCGCCGGUUUUGACACCGACAUUGGUGCUUUCAUUGAGAGUUUUGCUGUGUAUUCGGCAAAAGGUUGAUGGCUCGCCUGCAGAUCAACUGCGAUUUCGGCAUCUUCGUCACCAACUCGACUGGUCACCUUGGUUUGACCAAGGACUGCGUCCUACCUCCGAUCGUCAUGUUCGGAUUAGGGCCUUUAUAAACAUCAACUCCGAUCUCCAUCAAGAUCAUGGAGGAAUCAUGCAGGGAGCUCGGGGGCUCAACGUCAACAUUGCCCUCAGGCGACCGUGCUGUUUUUCUGGACAGCAAACUUGUGUCCGCCGCCACCGCCUCCUCAAGUGUCUUUUUAACGAUCGCUUUAGUGGAAUUGUGCGGAAUUGAGUCUAUAAAAACCUUGAAAAAUUUCAUCGAGUUCUGAUGGAGGAAUCUCUGGCAAUCCACGAUAUACCGGAGCCCUGUCAAAUCUGGACGGGAAUCUGGAUGAGUUUAGGGCGUGGUGUCCAGCUUCUAGCUCGGACGUUCUUUGGAAGAUCCAACCGUUGAUCGGUUGCGCAAUUUGUAUAUCUAUCACCUCUCAAAAUUUCAGCUCGAUCCGACCGUCCAAACUCCGGGAACCUUCCGAUUAGUGCAUCACUUUUCGGAUCUGUUUUCUGCGCAAAAAAUGAAUCCGACCCGAGUUCGUCUUUUUUAUAAACGGGAUUUCGGACAUCCCUUUCGAAGGAAGUUUUGUAUGGGGUAUUGUGUUUUGGUUUCGAACACAUCCCACUAACUUUAAGAUCUUUUGAACAUGAUCUUCAACAUCAUACUGGUGUCAAACCACUCCGGCAAUAUUCCUCCACGGCUGCCGACCUGCGCUAGACACGUCGUCACUUUGUUGAGCCGAGCUCAACUUCUUCGGAUCAUCAUCUCGGAAAGCCGAACAAAAGUCCGGCAUCGCGAAGGAUAAUUAUCACCAACAUCGCCGCCACACGGAUUACACGGAGCAGGCAUACCGGCAUCGCCGCACGGUCGCUUCAUCAAGCCGGCAUCGACCACGUCACGACCUGCAUUGGCAGGGCCGCACUAUUGCUUCUUCAAGCUGGUGUCCAUCACGCCGACCUACUUCGACUCAUCGGCUGACAUCGAGGCUCCGUCACCUCGUCUAGACCGAGGACUUGGCUAUUUCUUCAUCAACAUACUCCGGUGACUUCGGCGUCACCAGCCGACCAGCUUCGUCACGUUAGCUGGAUCGAGGGCUUCGCCUCGGCAAGCCAACCUUUGCCAGCAUCACCGGGCCAUCGCUUUAUCGCCCAUCAGGCAAUGGAUGUGCGGAUCGAUUCCUGAUUUUGGGAGUCGCUUUUCUUCGGAAUGCUACAACAAAUAAACCAGGUGCUAUUAAUCCUAACAAUUUUUGCUUGUUGGGUUUAUUUUUCUUAAGGAAUUAUUACUCUGGUUUGUUCCAUCAUCUGUAUACAGGUCUAUCAAAUGGCGGCCACAUUAAAAAUGGUCACGUGGUGGUUCAGUCAGUUUCCGUACAUUGUUCGGCGAACGCCGCAUCCGGAGCCCGGACCACCCUGCAAAUUCAGGCUUUGUCAUGCCUUCACUGUGUCACGCCGAUGCCCUGCAUCGACAUUAACUUCGGCGCCAGGCCAUAUUUCUUUUAUUAAUCACUUUGCAUAAAUUAUUUAUUAUGCAACAUUUUAUUAUUAUUAUCAUUACUAUUAUCUCCAGUUUGCACUAUUUCUUAUGCACUCGAAAAUGAUUCGGGUUGGGCAGUAUCGUCAACUCGGCGUACUGACAUACCACGUCACCUCGGCUAGAUGGGGGGCUUCGUCAAGACUUCAUUACCCCAUGCCGGGGACUUCGGUAUCACUCUGCCGGCCUGCAUUGGCCGUGCUAUGUCACCACUUCGGCGUGCCGAGCUCUUUGCUCCGCCACCUCGGGACCGGCUUGGGGGAUGGAACCUUGUCCCGCAUCAAGCUUGGACCACAUCAUCAAUACGAACACAUUAACCAGCUAAGUUGCCUUCAUGCUCCAAGUUUUAAAUUUUUUAUUUGUGUCCGGUUCGACCAAGCAUUAUACUUUUUUGGAAAAAAGUUGCUUGUAAAAAAUCUCCUUGUCAAAACUUUGUUUGUGACACACAAAUUCAAGGACCCAAUUCACUUGGGGGCUUCCUUUAUUAAGCUUUUCCUCUUGCAUAUGAUUAUACUUGUACAGCUUCGUUCCUUGUUCGUGUAUUAUGCCACAAUAUGCACCAUAUUAACUUAAGCGAUUUGCAAGCUGGGUUGCCUCGCUCCUGUGUUUACCCCUACGUUCCCGAUUGUUCGGCUAGGGAGUAAAGGGAGCACCUCUGCGAUUGUCACGAUCGGGUCAUCCGAGCCGGACCUUAGAGUGGGUGAAGCCGAAAGCUAGCGCUCUAAUAGUUUUCAAUGAUGGUCGGCACACAACGGAACUCAUGAGUACAAAAAGUCUAUUGCACAAGUCUCAUAAUAACAAUGAGCACCGAAGAAAGGUAUCGGUGGGGGUACUAUUUUCUUCGAAGAUGCUUUUUACACUUCGCGGUAAUAUAGCAUAAGUUCCUUGAGCGCGCUUUGUCUGUUACAGCCUUAUGGCCUGAUUGCCUGGUUAUUGGAAACACUGUCGAUAUUCUCGACAGAUGGAGUACAUAACACUUUUCGGUCCUUGACCGAAGAGGGAGAAGCCGACGGUCGGUUAAGACGCGUUUAAAGUUCGGUUGAACAUAGAUAUGAUAUAAGUACUUCGGUACAUGCAAUCAUUCUUUUACCCAAGUCACUUGGGGGCUCUUAAAUUUAUUUGAGCUGUUUUAUAAUAAGUGUUCUUCUUCUUAGUCGUUGCAAAGUAUUAUUAUUAUUAUUAUUAUUAUUUAUCACUCCUUUUUUCGACAUGAGUGUGUGGUCACUAGCCGGGGAGCCUAAUUUCUCUCUCAAAGCCGCUAGAGUUUAGUUUGCUAAGAUGGCCUAACGAGAAGUACUCCGCCUUCGGGAUAGGAGGUUGAAGCCGUAGGCUGACCCGCUUGAAGUCUUGAGAUAGAAUGUGUCAUGUUAAAGCACGACAUAAGCAUUUUUUUCUAAAGCCAAUUUUCGGAUUGGCACCGAACACUUGAUCUUGUUCGGACGUCAAGUUUUUACUGAUGUUUUUUGGUUUUCCAAGCUUGUGGCACUUUUAAACUAUUUAUGUGUUUUCAGCACAAGUCUCGCAGUGCAACGCCGGACACCCUCAGAGAUUCGGCAAAAACAUUCUCGGAUAUUGCUAUAUAUGCAUCGGUUUCGAAUUGUGUCUUCGGUCAAUAGUUGGGUUGCCCGGCUCCUGCGCUUGCCUCCUAUGUUCCGCUUUGUUCGGCUAGGUGUGCAAAGGGAGAACCACUACGAUUGUGCUUCUAGCUCACAUGGUUAAGCACCUCAAUGGAGAAAGCUGAAAACUGACUAUCACAAUAAGCGUAAACUGGUCAGCGAUCCGAUGACGGUGUUAAAUGACGGGCCAUUCAUAACAAUGGCCGAAGUGUUUACGACCUGACCUUGACUGUCGCCGAACACUACCGGGGGCUAUUAACUGGCCUCCCAAACUAAAUCCUCGAUAUUUUGCUCUUACAUUGGAGCUGAGGUUUCAUGAUCAUGCUUAGCAUGACAACCCAAAGAAAGGAGCCGAUAACGGGACUAUUUUCUUUGGAAGACAUUUCUUCUGUUAAACAAUAAUAUAACAUAUCUCUCUGUGUACCUUUGUUUAUAAAACCGUAUGGCCAGAUUGCCUUGUUUGUUGUAAAUCUUUGCCCUCAUAAAGGCUUUAUAAAGUAGGACAGACACUCCUUGGCUAUUGGCCGAGGAGGUGAAAGCCGAUAGUCGGUCAACAAAGUUUUGUACAAUGCGGAUCCAAACAUUAAUGACGUAAAGUACUUGGAUACAUAGAGUCAUUACACAUAAUUUGUGAUUUUACUAUGGAUAUCAAUCCUUAAUUUGGCCACCCAUGCCCGCAUUAAGGCUCGGGGGCUACUGGGCUUCGGGCUUAUUAUUUACAAAUAUUAAAAGGGCACAUUGAUCCCCUGAUCUGGUGUUGCCACCCGACCAGUGUCUUGGGGGCUACUGCAUUGCCUAUCCAAUGCAAAAAAAUUAAGUGUAAUACAGUUUCCGAGGAGAUUUUGAUCCUCAGGUUGGUCGGCCGCACCCAACCUGAGUCUCGAGGACUAAGCACGCCGCUUUUUGUGUCCCGAAGUAUUCCGCCGAGCUAGGACUUGAUCCUCAGACCGAUUUUGCAAAUCAACCCGAGUCUCAGUGGCUACUGGGAUCAGCGUCUUAUGUCAUCCUUCAUGCGCAUCUCGGGUUUUAGACCGAUACCCACCUUGAGGGCUACUGGCUGUAUAUCUCGGUAGAGAAUAAAUUGCACCAAUCAAAAAUAUUGACAAAAAUGGGCCCACAUUCGGGGUGGUGCACCACCUUGGAAGCAGUCCGGCAUAAAGCUCGGGCGCUAGUGGCUGGCUCCAUAGAGGGCAUUUCCGGCAUUAAGCUCGGCUAAACUCCUUCAAACUUAUUUGAACCAAGGUGAUUUACGAUACCUCGGAUACAGUCCGGUGUUGGAGCUCGGAUACAUUCCGGCGUUAGAGCUGGGAAGCAGUCCGGCGUUGGAUCUCGGAUACAUAGUCCGGCGUUGGAGCUCGGAUACAGUCCGGCGUUGGAGCUCGGAUACACAGUCCGGCGUUGGAGCUCGCAUACAUUCCGGCGUUAGAGCUGGGAAGCGGUCCGGCGUUGGUGCUCGGCUGCAAAAGAUACUUCGAAUGCAGUCCGACGUUGGAGCUCGGGCGCAAGAGGACACUGCCUCCCGGGAACAACUUCAAACCCGAGGUGUGUCAUAAAAAUAACAAGGCAUUGAUAAAGGCCGGAAACUUAAAGGGGCUCCUCGGAUACCCGACGUGUAAACCUGUCGAAUGCAUUUCGGCGAUCCUCAAUAUCGAAGAUGAGAAGAUUUGUUGAACCAGUUUUCAAGACCGACGACCGAAGAUGAAGAAUGGUUCGGAAGAAUCGAGGAGCGUCCCUAACUUGAAGACCAGUUCAGGGGGCUACUGACAGUGUCCUGGACUAGGGGGUACUCAUCACGUCAUCUCCCGAUCUGUUAUAUUGGGCCGAAGACCCCCAUGGCCGUAUACUCAUGGGCCGGUUCAGACAGCUGCCACAUACAAGGAAGAUUCCACAAGACUUGGCGAUCAAGACAAGGACUCCUCCCCACCGGCGUAUUCGGCUAGGAACCUUGUUAUCCUAGGCCUCUGGUGCAUUAUAUAAACCGAGGCCAGGCUAGUCGAUAGAUCAUAUACAACAACAGUCAUACCAUAGGCUAGCUUCUAGGGUUUAGCCUCUACGAUCUCGUGGUAGAUCAACUCUUGUAAUACUCAUAUCAUCAUCAAUCAAGCAGGACGUAGGGUUUUACCUCCAUCAAGAGGGCCCGAACCUGGGUAAAACAUCGUGUCCCCUGCCUCCUGUUACCAUCCGCCUUAGACGCACAGUUCGGGACCCCCUACCCGAGAUCCGCCGGUUUUGACACCGACACCCAUGCCACCGGAACUCCGGUUUCGUUUCCGGCCAUAAGUUCCGAACCAUGUGAGCCCGCGGACGCCGAACUUGAUCAUUUAUCGAUCUUCGAAUUCAGCGCCACAAACAUCUUCCAGCAUUUGCCUUUGGGCAACAUGCUAAACUCAUUAAAAAACCUGUCCUUGGUGGAGGACUCACAGCCGAACUAUAUCCGGUUUGAACUAGGGGCAGACGAUGGAGAAUUUUGCUCCCCACCCGCCACCCACUUCAUAGCCACGGUCCAGGAUUUAACUGACACACUUGAUUAUGACUCCGAGGACAUCGACGAUAUGGACGACGAUGUCGGAGAAGAAGAGGCCCAGAACCCGCCAUUCACCGGACGCUGGACGGCCACUUCCUCGUAUGAUGUAUACAUGGUGGAUGCACCAAAGGAGAACAUCGGCGAUGACAAGGACGAUCCAGCUGAGGAUAAACCUUCCGAAAUACAAUCCAAGCGCCGGCGUCAGCGGCGCCGCUCUAAGUCACGCCGUAGUAAAGACAGCAACAUCGGCACAGGAGAAGGUAACACUCUAGAAGGUGCCGAAGACAACAAAGACCCCGUUGAAACAGCUAAUGAGCAAGAUGAACGGGAAUAUGGGCAGGUUAGCCCUGGUAAACAGGCCACGCAUGAAGACUCAAAGGACGGAAGUUAUCUUCCGCUCUCCGAGGAUGAGGUGAUCCUCGGCACCGACAAUUUCAUCGUGCCUGAGGAACCUCUGGAGCAGGAGCGCUUCAAGCGCCAGCUAAUAGCCACUGCAAGGAGCCUGAAAAAGAAGAAGCAACAGCUUCAAGCUGACCAAGAUCUGCUCAAUGAUAAAUGGACCGAUGUCCUAGGAGCUGAAGAAUACGGCCUCAAGGGCUCAACCAAAAGCUACCCAAAACGCAAAUUGCUACCUCAGUUUGACAAGGAGGCGUCGGAAUACAUACCACCAUCGCACAAUGCGGCUGACCGACCACCACGUGGUCGGGACAAAAUAACAACUCACGCCGAACACCAGCCCGCCCCAUCUCGUCGCACAGGUAGAGGUAAAUUAGCCCACGGCCAUACAUAUGACCUCUGGCAAAACCUGAACAAUAAAGCAGAACAUACCAGAUCAAUCUACGGAUUGCAUGGACGUGCCUCGGCACGCGACGACAGCCACCUAUUCGGACGUGACAAGCUUAGUCAUGCGCGGGCUAAAAACCACAGACGGACUCCAUCAGAGCUACGUCGCGAUACGACCAGAUAUAGAGGCGCCGCACACCCUCAUUGCUUCACUGAUGAGGUCAUGGAUCAUGAAUUCCCAGAAGGGUUCAAACCCGUGAAUAUAUAAUCAUACGAUGGAACCACGGACCCCGCGGUGUGGAUCGAAGACUUCAUUCUCCACAUUCAUAUGGCCUGCAGUGAUGACCUCCACGCCAUUAAAUACCUUCCUUUAAAACUCAAGCAACCAUCUCGGCAUUAGCUCAAUAGUCUGCCUGCAAAUUCCAUUGGCAGCUGGGACGACUUGGAAGAGGCCUUCCUUGAUAACUUCCAAGGUACAUAUGUUCGACCUCCGGACGCUGAUGACUUAAGCCACAUAGUUCAACAGCCCGGAGAGUUCGCCAGGAAAUUCUGGACUAGGUUCUUAACUAAAAAGAACCAAAUCGUCGAUUAUCCGGAUGCCGAAGCCCUAGCAGCCUUCAAACACAGCAUCCGCGACGAAUGGCUCGCUCGCCACCUUGGCCAAGAAAAGCCAAAAUCCACGGCGGCCCCCACGGCACUCACGACCCGCUUUUGUGCGGGCGAGGACAGUUGGUUGGCCCGUAGCAAAAACACUGCAAGCGACGCCGACACCCCUGAAGUUAAAAAUAACAAAGACAAGUCUCUAUGCAACAGAUACAAGCGUCGAAACAACAGUGAUAACACCGAUGACACGGCGGACAAUGCCGGAUUCAGUGGCUCUAAGUCUGGUCAGCGGAAGAAACCGUUCCAAAAGAACAAUUCAGGCCCAUCCAGCUUGGACCGCAUACUUGAUCGUCCGUGCCUACCUAUAUACGGUAUCUGCCUAUAUCUCCAUAAACCCCAAAGUUAUUCCAUAUGAGUCCACCAUACCUACCUAUAUACGGUAUCUACCUGUCGUUCCAAGUAAAUUUGUAUGUGCCAAACUCUAAACCUUCAAAUAAACAUUCUGUUUUGUAUGCUCGAAUAGCUCAUGUAUCAACUAGGGUUGUCUGUAUCUUCCAUGCUAGGCGGGUUAUUCUCAAGAGGAGUGGACUCAGCUCCUCACUCAUGAGAAAAUGGAUGGUCACCGGGAUGCCCAGUCCCAUGCUUUAUGCAAAUCAAAUCAAAAUAACUGCAAACAAAACUCCCCCAGGACUCUUGUUAGUUGGAGGCACUCGUUGUUUCGAGCAAGCCAUGGAUUGAUGCUUGUUGGUGGAGGGGGAGUAUAAACUUUACCAUUCUGUUUGGGAACUGCCUAUAAUGUGUGUAGCAUGGAAGAUAUCGAGAUCUCUCGGUUGUUAUGUUGAUAAUGAAAGUAUACCGCUCAAAAUAUUAUUUAUAUCUAUUUCAAAACCAAGCUCUGGCACCUCUACAAAUCCCUGCUUCCCUCUGCGAAGGGCCUAUCUAUUUAUUUUUAUGUUGAGUCAUCAUCCUCUUAUUAAAAAGCACCAGUUGGAGAGCACCGCUGUCAUUUGCAUCCAUUACUAUUAGUUUACAUUGAGUAUGACUUGACUGGAUCUCUUUUACCUUGAAUUACAAUGUCUAGUCAGUCCUUGAUCUUUAAAGGUGCUCUGCAUUUAUGUUUUGAGGUCUCAGACAGGGCUAGCGAGAUACCAUCUUGUCAUAUCAUAUCAUGAUUAUUUUGAGAAAGUGUUGUCAUCGGAGAUUUAUUAUUAUUGCUCGCUAGUUGAUUAUGUCAUUGAUAUGAGUAAACAUGAGACCUAAGUGUUAUUGUGAAUAUGGUUAGUUCAUAAUCUUUGCUGAAAAUCUGAAUGCUGGCUUUACAUAUUUACAACAACAAGAGCAAAUAGAGUUUGUAAAAGUUUUUCUUUAUCACUUUCAGUUUAUCAACUGAAUUGCUUGAUGACAAGCAAAGGUUUAAGCUUGGGGGAGUUGAUAUGUCUCCGUCGUAUCUACUUUUCCAAACACUUUUGCCCUUGUUUUGGACUCUAACUUGCAUGAUUUGAAUGGAACUAACCCGGACUGACGCUGUUUUCAGCAGAAUUGCCAUGGUGUUAUUUUUGUGUAGAAAUAAAAGUUCUUGGAAUGACCUAAAAAUCAAUGGUGAAUUAUUUUGGAAUACAUAAAAAAUACUAGAAGAAAGAUCCACGUCAGGGGCCCACAACCUGUACACGAGGGUGGGGGCGUGCCCUACCCCCUGGGCGUGCCCCCUGCCUCGUGGGCCCCCUGACGCUCCACCGACCUCAACCUUGACUCCAUAUAUUCACUUUUGGGGAGAGAAAAAUCAGAGAGAAGGAUUCAUCGCGUUUUAUGAUACGGAGCCGCCGCCAAGCCCUAAACUCUCUCGGGAGGGCUGAUCUGGAGUCCGUUCGGAGCUCCGGAGAGGGGAAUCCGUCGCCAUCGUCAUCAUCAACCUUCCUCCAUCACCAAUUUCAUGAUGCUCACCGCCGUGUGUGAGUAAUUCCAUCGUAGGCUUCCUGGACGGUGAUGGGUUGGAUGAUAUUUAUCAUGUAAUCGAGUUUGCUUUGUUAGGGUUUGAUCCCUAGUAUCCACUAUGUUCUGAGAUGGAUGUUGCUAUGACUUUGCUAUGCUUAAUGCUUGUCACUAGGGCCCGAGUGCCAUGAUUUCAGAUCUGAACCUAUAAUGUUUUCAUCAAUAUAUGAGAGUUCUUGAUCCUAUCUUGCAAGUCUAUAGUCACCUAUUAUGUGUUAUGAUUCGUUAACCCCGAAGUGACAAUAAUCAGGAUACUUACUGGUGAUGACCGUAGUUUGAGGAGUUCAUGUAUUCACUAUGUGUUAAUGCUUUGGCCUGGUACUAUAUUAAAAGGAGGCCUUAAUAUCCCUUAGUUUCCAAUAGGACCCCACUUCCACGGGAGGGUAGGACAAAAGAUGUCAUGCAAGUUCUUUUCCAUAAGCAUGUAUGACUAUAUUCGGAAUACAUGCCUACAUUACAUUGAUGAACUGGAGCUAGUUCUGUGUCACCCUAGGUUAUGACUGUUACAUGAUCGAUUUCAUCCAGCAUAAUUCUCCAUCACCGAUCCAAUGCCUACGAGAUUUUCUAUAUAUUGUUCUUCGCUCAUUUACUUUUCCGUUGCUAUUGUUACAAUCACUACAAAACCCAAAAAUAUUACUUUUGCUACUGUUACCUUUUGCCACCAUUACCACUACUAUCAUAUUACUUUGCUACUAAAUACCUUGCUGCAGAUAUUAAGUUUCCAGGUGUGGUUGAAUUGACAACUCAGCUGCUAAUACUUGAGAAUAUUCUUUGGCUCCCCUUGUGUCGAAUCAAUAAAUUUGUGUUGAAUACUCUACCCUCGAAAACUGUUGCGAUCCCCUAUACUUGUGGGUUAUCAAGAACAUUUUCUGGCGCCGUUGCCGGGGAGCAUUGCUCUAUUCUUUGAGUCACUUGGGAUUUAUAUCUGCUUAUCAUUAUGAAGAACUUGAAAGAUCAAAGAACCAAGUUUUUUCCCUCAACUACGAGGGGAGGUAAGGAACUGCCAUCUAGCUCUGCACUUGAUUCACCUUCUUUUUGAGUAAGCUUGCGACACCUAAACCUGCUUCUGCUAUUAAUUCUGAUAUGUCGCAUGUUAUUGAUGAUGCCACUUCUGCUUUGCAUGAUACUUAUGAUGAAACUACUUCUAUGCUUGAUACUACUGUGCCACUUGGUGAAUUUCUUGAUGAACAACUUGCUAGGGCUAGAGAGAAUGAAAUUAUUGAAACUGAUAUAUUGAUGAAAGUGAUGAUGAAGAUUCUCCCCCUAGAUAUGAAUUUCCUGUUGUUCGUGAGGGUUAUGUUAUGGAUGAAGAAACUGCUAGAGACUUUCUUGCGUGCAAUGAUAGAAGUGAUCUUAAGAAGUUAUUAGCCAAGCUUAAAGAAAAAACUCUGAAUGCUAGAAUGAAAUAUGAUCCUGCUUAUGCUAGUUCACCUGUCUUUAUUGCUGAUAAGGAUUAUGACUUCUCUGUUGAUCCCGAUUUAAUUACUUUGGUUGAAUCUGAUCCUUUCUAUGGCUAUGAAUCUGAAACUGUUGUGGCACAUCUUACUAAAUUAAAUGAUAUAGCUACCCUGUUCACUAAUGAUGAGAAAACUCGCUAUUAUUAUAUCCUUAAAUUAUUUACAUUCUCAUUAAAGGGUGAUGCUAAGAUAUGGUUUAAUUCUAUUGAUCUUGGUUGUGUGCGUAGUCCCCAGGAUAUGAUUUAUUACUUCUCUGCUAAAUAUUUCCCCGCUCAUAAGAAACAAGCUGCUUUAAGGGAAAUAUAUAAUUUUGUGCAAAUUGAAGAAGAGAGUCUCCCACAAGCUUGUGGGAGGCUUCUCCAAUUACUUAAUGCUUUGCCUGAUCAUCCUCUCAAGAAAAAUGAAAUACUUGAUAUCUUUUAUAAUGGACUAACCGAUGCUUCCAGAGACUACCUGGAUAGUUGUGUUGGUUGUGUUUUCAGGGAAAGAACUGUUGAUCAAGCUGAAAUUCUAUUGAAUAAUAUGUUGACUAAUAAAAAUAAUUGGACACUUCCUGAACCAACUCCUAAGCCAACUCCGAAGAAAAGGGGUAUUCUAUUUCUCAGUCCUGAAGAUAGGCAAGAGGCAAAGAGAUCUAUGAAAGAAAAAGGUAUAAAAGCUGAAGAUGUUAAGAAUUUACCUCUUGUUGAAGAAACACAUGGUCUUAAUUCAUCUCCUAUUGAAGAAACACACGGUCUUGAUAACCCGACACAGGUAGUAAAGGUAAAUUCUCUCUAUAGAUAUGAUAAAGCUGAAAUCCCUCCUGCUAAGUUUGCUAGCAAAUGUUUGGAUGAAUUUGAUAACUUUAUGGUUAAGCAAGAAGAUUUCAAUGAUUAUGUUGGUAGACAAUUGAAACACAAUGCUGAUAUGCUUGAACACUUGAGUGAUUAUAUGUCUAGAGUUAAAGGUGAACUUAAACUUAUUAGUAAACAUGCUUCUAUGGUUACCACUCAAGUAGAACAAGUACGUAAGGCUCAAAAAGAAGUGCUUGAUAGGACUUUUCAUGCUUCUAGUGAACCUGUUGUAGACACACCUGAGAAUCCCAACGAUGUUUCUAUCUCUGAUGCUGAAACACAAUCCGGUAAUGAACAUGAACCUAGUGAUAAUGUUAAUGAUGAUGUUCAUGUUGAUGCUCAACCUAGCAAUAAUAAUGAUGUAGAAAUUGAACCUUCUGUUGAUCUUGAUAAGCCACAAUCAAAGAAUCAACGUUAUGAUAAGAGAGACUUUGUUGCUAGGAAGCACGGUAAAGAAAGGGAACCAUGGGUUCAGAAACCCAUGCCUUUUCCUCCUAAACCAUCCAAUAAAAAGGAUGAUGAGGAUUUUGAGCAUUUUGCUGAAAUGAUUAGACCUAUCUUUUUGCAUAUGCGUUUGACCGAUAUGCUUAAAAUGAAUCCUUAUGCUAAGUAUAUGAAGGAUAUAGUUACUAAUAAGAGAAAGAUUCCGGAAGCUGAAAUUUCCACCAUGCUUGCUAAUUAUACUUUUAAGGGUGGAAUACCAAAGAAACUUGGAGAUCCAGGAGUACCAACUAUACCAUGCUCCAUUAAAAGAAAUUAUGUUAAAACUGCUUUAUGUGAUCUUGGAGCCGAUGUUAGUGUUAUGCCUCUCUCUUUAUAUCGUAGACUUGAUUUGAAUAAGUUGACACCUACUGAAAUAUCUUUGCAAAUGGCUGAUAAAUCAACUGCUAUACAUGUCGGUAUUUGUGAGGAUGUGCCUGUUGUGGUUGCAAACGUUACUAUUUUAAUGGACUUUGUUAUUCUUGAUAUUCUCGAGGACGAUAGUAUGUCUAUUAUUCUUGGAAGACCCUUUUUGAAUACUGCAGGGGCUGUUAUUGAUUGCACCAAAGGCAAUGUCACUUUUCAUGUUAAUGGUAAUGAGCAUACGAUACACUUUUCGAGGAAACAACCUCAAGUCCACAGUAUCAGUUCUAUUGGAAAAAUUUCAACAAUUACUAUUGGAGGUUUUGAAUUCCCUCUUCCUACUGUCAAGAACAAAUAUGAUAUUCUUAUUGUUGGGGACAUGCAUAUCCCCGUUGAGGUAACCUAGUGUUAUUCGAAAAUUCUCCGGUUUCAUGUUAUUCAAAAUGAGUUUGUUAACUAGACCUGAUCAACCUUGUUAGUGGAUUCCUUUUGAUGAGCAGGAGAUGGAUGAAGUUAGAAAACACAACUCUCUGUACCCUCUUUUUACUUUCUGUUAUUUAUAUUAAAUAAAGCAAAAAUAGUAUUUUUCUGUCUGUUUUCUGAAUUAUCAAUGCAAUAAAAAAUACCCCAAAAAUAAAAGUUCUCCAAAUGCCCUGAAAAUUAAAUAUGAUUUUUUCUAGAAUAUUUGAGAAUAUCUGGCACUAAGAACACAGCAGGGGGAGCAAGCACCUGGCCACGAGGGUCCAGGGCGCGCCUCCUUGCCUCGUGGGCCCAUGGUGGCUCCACUCCACUUAUUCCAGCUACCACACACUCCUUCUUCCUUCCAAAAAAUCACUAGCCAGCUCAAACCCGACUUCAAGCUCAUCUUGCUACUAUUUUCGAUCUCCUAGCUCAAAGCUCCAUUCACAAAACUGCUUUGGGGGAUUGUUCCUUGGUAUGUGAUUCCUCCAACGGUCCAAUUAGUUUUUGUUCUAGUGCUUUAUUCAUUGCAAAUUUUUGCUGCUUAGGUGACCCUAUUCUUGAGCUUGCAUGUCAAAUUUAUAUGGUCAAAAGUGUUGGGGAACGUAGUAAUUUCAAAACAAUUCCUACGCACACGCAAGAUCAUGGUGAUGCAUAGCAACGAGAGGGGAGAGUGUUUUCCACGUACCCUCGUAGACCGAAAGCGGAAGCGUUAGCACAACACGGUUGAUGUAGUCAUACGUCUUCACGAUCCGACCGAUCAAGUACCGAAUGUAUGGCACCUCCGAGUUCAGCACACGUUCAGCCCGAUGACGUCCCUCGAACUCCGAUCCAGCCGAGUGUUGAGGGAGAGUUUCGUCGGUACGACGACAUGGUGACGAUGAUGAUGUUCUACUGACGCAGGGCUUCGCCUAAGCAUCGCUACAGUAUUAUCGAGGUGGACUAUGGUGGAGGGGGGCACCGCACACGGCUAAAAGAUCAAACGAUCAAUUGUUGUGUCUAUGGGGUUCCCCCUGCCCCCGUAUAUAAAGGAGCAAGGGGAGGAGGCGGCCGACCAGGGAGAGGCGUGCCAAGGGGGAGUCCUACUCCCACUAGGAGUAGGACUCCUCCUAUUCCUAGUAGGAGUAGGAGAGGGGGAAGGAAAGGGAGAGGGGGAGAAGGAAAGAGGGGCCCGUCCCCCUUGCCCUAAACCAAUUCGGUUUGGGCCUUGGGGGGGUGCGCCCCACACUCCCCUUGCUGCCCUAUAUUUCCACUAAGGCCCAUGUAGGCCCAUUAAGCCCCCGGGGGGUUCCGGUAACCUCCCGGUACUUCGGUAAAAUCCCGAUUUCACCCGGAACACUUCCGAUAUCCAAACAUAGGCUUCCAAUAUAUCAACCUUCAUGUCUCGACCAUUUUGAGACUCCUCAUCAUGUCCGGGAUCACAUACGGGACUCCAAACAACCUUCGGUACAUCAAAACAUAUAAACUCAUAAUAUAACCGUCAUCGAAACGUUAAGCGUGCGGACCCUACGGGUUCGAGAACUAUGUAGACAUGACCGAGACAUGUCUCCGGUCAAUAACCAAUAGCGGAACGUGGAUGUUCAUAUUGGCUCCCACAUAUUCUACGAAGAUCUUUAUCGGUCAAACCGCAUAACAACAUACGUUGUUCCCUUUGUCAUCGGUAUGUUACUUGCCCGAGAUUCGAUCGUCAGUAUCUCAAUACCUAGUUUAAUCUCGUUACCGGCCAGUCUCUUUACUCGUUCUGUAAUACAUCAUCUCGCAACUAACUCAUUAGUUGCAAUGCUUGCAAGGCUUAAGUGAUGUGCAUUACCAAGAGGGCCCAGAGAUACCUCUCCAACAAUCGGAGUGACAAAUCCUAAUCUCGAAAUACGCCAACCCAACAAGUACCUUCGAAGACACCUGUAGAGCACCUUUAUAAUCAUCCAGUUACGUUGUGACGUUUGGUAGCACACAAAGUGUUCCACCGGUAAACGGGAGUUGCAUAAUCUCAUAGUCAUAGGAACAUGUAUAAGUCAUGAAGAAAGCAAUAGCAGAAUACUAAACGAUCGUGUGCUAAGCUAACGGAAAGGGUCAAGUCAAUCACAUGAUUCUCCUAAUGAUGUGAUCUCAUUAAUCAAAUGACAACACUUUGUUUAUGGUUAGGAAACUUAACCAUCUCUGAUUAAUGAGCUAGUCAAGUAGAUGCAUACUAGUGACAUACUAUUUGUCUAUGUAUUCACACAUGUAUUAUGUUUCCUGUUAAUACAAUUCUAGCAUGAAUAAUAAACAUUUAUCAUGAUAUAAGGAAAUAAAUAAUAACUUCAUUAUUGCCUCUAGGACAUAUUUCCUUCAGUCUCCCACUUGCACUAGAGUCAAUAAUCUAGAUUACACAGUAAUGAUUCUAACACCCAUGGAGCCUUGGUGCUGAUCAUGUUUUGCUCGUGGAAGAGGCUUAGUCAAUGGGUCUGCAACAUUCAGAUCCGUAUGUAUCUUGCAAAUUUCUAUGUCUCCCACCUGGACUAAAUCCCGGAUGGAAUUGAAGAGUCUCUUGAUGUGCUUGGUUCUCUUGUGAAAUCUGGAUUCCUUUGCCAAGGCAAUUGCACCAGUAUUGUCACAAAAGAUUUUCAUUGGACCCGAUGCACUAGGUGUGACACCUAGAUCGGAUAUGAACUCCUUCAUUUGCUGCUUCCGAAGCAGCUAUGUACUUCGGUUCACAUGUAGAUCCCGCCACAAUGCUUUGUUUAGAACCGCACCAACUGACAGCUCCACCGUUCAAUGUAAACACGUAUCCGGUUUGCGAUUUAGAAUCAUCCGGAUCAGUGUCAAAGCUUGCAUCAAUGUAACCAUUUACGAUGAGCUCUUUGUCACCUCCAUAUAUGAGAAACAUAUCCUUAGUCCUUUUCAGGUAUUUCAGGAUGUUCUUGACCGCUGUCUAGUGAUCCACUCCUAGAUUACUUUGGUACCUCCCUGCUAGACUUAUAGCAACGCACACAUCAGGUCUGGUACACAGCAUUGCAUACAUGAUAGAGCCUAUGGCUGAAGCAUAGGGAAUAUCUUUCAUUUUCUCUCUGUCUUCUGCAGUGGUCGGGCAUUGAGUCUUACUCAACUUCACACCUUGUAACACAGGCAAGAACCCUGUCUUUGCUUGAUCCAUUUUGAACUUAUUCAAAACAUUGUCAAGGUAUGUGCUUUGUGAAAGUCCAAUUAAGCGUCUUGAUGUAUCUCUAUAGAUCUUGAUGCCCAAUAUAUAAGCAGCUUCACCGAGGUCUUUCAUUGAAAAACUCUUAUUCAAGUAUCCCUUUAUGCUAUCCAGAAAUUCUAUAUCAUUUCCAAUCAACAAUAUGUCAUCCACAUAUAAUAUUAGAAAUGCUACAGAGCUCGCACUCACUUUCUUGUAAUACAGGCUUCUCCAAAAGUCUGUAUAAAACCAAAUGCUUUGAUCACACUAUCAAACCGUUUAUUCCAACUCCGAGAGGCUUGUACCAGUCCAUAAAUGGAUCGCUGGAGCCUGCACACUUUGUUAGCUCCCUUUGGAUCGACAAAACCUUCUGGUUGCAUCAUAUACAACUCUUCUUCCAGAAAUCCAUUCAGGAAUGCAGUUUUGACAUCCAUUUGCCUAAUUUUGUAAUCAUAAAAUGCAGCAAUUGCUAACAUGAUUCAGACAGACUUGAGCAUCACUACGGGUGAGAAGGUCUCAUCGUAGUCAAUCCCUUGAACUUGUCGAAAACCUUUUGCAAGAAGUCGAGCUUUAUAGACAGUAACAUUACCGUCAGUGUCAGUCUUCUUCUUGAAGAUCCAUUUAUCCUCAAUUGCUUGCCGAUCAACGGGCAAGUCAACCAAAGUCCACACAUUGUUCUCAUACAUGGUUCCCAUCUCAGAUUUCAUGGCCUCAAGCCAUUUUGCGGAAUCUGGUGUAACGCCCGGGUAAUCAAGAUACAGUAAUUCCACGCAAAUGGUGUCACGUCACCACGGUUACUGUUGCUAAACUACCGUUAGAUCAAAACACUCUAAAUUCAAAUUUAAAUUUAGCAAACAGUCAAAGUUUUCAAAACAUUAAAACAAAAAUGUUCGAUGUGUGUCAAAUAUUGCUAUGGUAAUUAUAGUGAAGAAAACAUAAUUUUACAAAGUGCCUAAGUGCUUUAAACUAAAUAAACAGAAAAUGGAAAUAAAUAAAAGAAAAAAACUACUAAACAAGAACAAAAGAAAGAAAAAAAAGGCCCCCUGGCCAACUGGGCCAAAUGGCCCAACUAACCACCAGGCCGGCCCAACCAUCUGGCCUACAUAGUCCUUCCUCCACUCCCCCCCACUACUCCACCGACACCCCACCCCCCCAUGAAAAUAUCUCCUCUCUCCCCGAUUGGAUCGGGAUCGUGGGAGGAGGUCGCUGCCCCGCGCCAGGACGCCGCCGCCGCCCGGAUCGCCCUUCGCCGCCCGGAGCGCUCCCCCUCCGGCCUGCUUCUCCUCUCCGCCGUCGUCUCCGACCACCGCCUCCACACCCGCUGCCCCGUGCCCUACGCUAUCCCCGUGAGGCCCCCUCCUCCUCUCUUCCCCGCAUGCGCCCGCACCGGACGCACUCACCGCGCUCGCGCCGCCCCGUGCCCGUGCACACGCCGUGGCCGUGCCCUCUCCCAUGCUCGCUGCCGCUCUGCACCGCUGCCUCCUUCCCCGUACCCGGCACCUCUCUCGCUCCCCUCCUUGCUCGCCCGCACUCGCGUGCGCGCCUGCGCUUGCUCGCGUUGACACCCGCCUGCGCUGCUGCCCGCUGCUGCGCUGCCACCGCGGCUGCACCGCGCCGCCCCACGCGCCUCAACCCGCGCCUACGCCGCUCGCCCGCCGACGCCCGCAGCCUUCCUCUCGCGCGUGCCCCGCUUCUCGCGCCGACCCCGCCCCUGCCACUGCUCCACUCCGGUGCGACGCCCUGGCUGCACCCGCGCCCCGCUGCCGACGCCCGCGACCCUUCUCUGCCUCGCCUGNNNNNNNNNNNNNNNNNNNNNNNNNNNNNNNNNNNNNNNNNNNNNNNNNNNNNNNNNNNNNNNNNNNNNNNNNNNNNNNNNNNNNNNNNNNNNNNNNNNNNNNNNNNNNNNNNNNNNNNNNNNNNNNNNNNNNNNNNNNNNNNNNNNNNNNNNNNNNNNNNNNNNNNNNNNNNNNNNNNNNNNNNNNNNNNNNNNNNNNNNNNNNNNNNNNNNNNNNNNNNNNNNNNNNNNNNNNNNNNNNNNNNNNNNNNNNNNNNNNNNNNNNNNNNNNNNNNNNNNNNNNNNNNNNNNNNNNNNNNNNNNNNNNNNNNNNNNNNNNNNNNNNNNNNNNNNNNNNNNNNNNNNNNNNNNNNNNNNNNNNNNNNNNNNNNNNNNNNNNNNNNNNNNNNNNNNNNNNNNNNNNNNNNNNNNNNNNNNNNNNNNNNNNNNNNNNNNNNNNNNNNNNNNNNNNNNNNNNNNNNNNNNNNNNNNNNNNNNNNNNNNNNNNNNNNNNNNNNNNNNNNNNNNNNNNNNNNNNNNNNNNNNNNNNNNNNNNNNNNNNNNNNNNNNGCCUCGCCUGGCUGCCUCGUGCACUGCUCCCGCCUUCCCCGCUGAAGGCCGCCGCGCCCGCACCUCACCGAGACCGCGCGCGCUGUCCUGCAUCCCUCAUCGCUGCCGCUGCCCCUGUUCGCCCCGGCCUCGCCUUCCCUCUCCGCGCGCCGUGCCGGCCGCCCCGCCUACGCCCGCAGUUGCCGCGUCUUGCUGUCCUGCCCGUGGCCGCGCUGGUUGCCGGCGGCCGCGACCCGCGAACCGCUCUCCCCCUCCGCUUGCCGGCCGGCGUCCUCGCCGUGGCCGACACCCUCCCCUGGCUGUGCCAUGGGCACGGCCCCGGCUGCGCCCUCUGUUGCCUCUGUGCGGAUGCGCGUUCGCCCGCACUCGAUAGCGCCCGUUACGCCUGAACCCGCCAAGACCCCCUGCCUAUGACAAGGGGGCCCCACCACAGAACGAAAAUGAAAAAAAAGAAAAGGUUUAAAAUAAUGAAUAAUAAAUAAAAUAAAAAUUAAUUAAUUAAUUAAUUAACUUAGUUAAUCUUGAUUAAUUAAACUAAACAAUUAAUUAAACUAAUUAAUCAUAAUUAAGAUUAACCAAAUAACUAAUUAAACUAACUACUGUUAGUAAUUAAUUAGUCAAUGACAGUGGGGCUCACCCCCCUAAUUAAUCCUGAUUAGGUUAAUUAAACUGGAUAAUUAAAUAUGUCACUGACAGGUGGGACCCACUUGUCAGGUUGACCAGGUCAACUGCUGAUGUCAUGCUGACAUCAUGCUGACGUCAGCAAACACUAUUCUGGAUAAUGUUGAAUUAAAAUAAUUAAAUAAAUCCUAAAAAUGAUUUAAUUCUUUUUAAAAUUAAUAUAAAAUAAACCGUAGCUCGGAUGAAAAACUUUGUACAUGAAAGUUGCUUAGAACGACGAGACGAAUCCGAAUACGCAGCCCGUUCGUCCGCCACACAUCCCUAGCAUAGCGAACACGCAACUUCCUCCCUCCGGUUCAUUUGUCCGAAAACGCAAAACACCGGGGAUAUUUCCCGGAUGUUCCCCCCUUCACCGGUACCACCUCAUACCGCGUUAGAGCACCGCUACUUGUCAUGUCAUGCAUCACUAUGCAUCUGUUUGCUUAAUAUUUAUUGUUUCUCCCCCUCUUCUCUCGCUAGACACCGAGACCAACGCCGCUGCUACCCAGUACGACUACGGUGUUGACGACCCCUCUCUCUUGCCAGAUCAACCAGGCAAGCCCCCCCUUUGAUCACCAGAUAUCGCCUACUCUUCUCUCUACUGCUUGCAUUAGAGUAGUGUAGCAUGUUACUGCUUUCCAUUAAUCCUAUUCUGAUGCAUAACCUGUCAUUGUUGCUCCAGCUGUUGAUACCUUACCUGCAAUCCUAAAUGCUUAGUAUAGGAUGCUAGUUUAUCAUCAGUGGCCCUACAUUCUUGUCUGUCUGCCAUGCUAUACUAUCGGGCCGUGAUCACGUCGGGUGUUGAUCACGGGUAUAUACUAUACAUAUUACACAUGAUAUAUGUUGUGGCUAAAGUCGGGUCGGCUCGUUGAGUACCCGCGGUUGAUUCACGAAUUGGGGGCUAGAAGGACAUACUUCCCCGAUGGCCCUCUGUGUGGAUCUUUGUGGCGAAGUGACAGGGCAGGUUGAGACCACCUAGGAGAGAGCUGGGCCUGGCCUUGGUCGGCGUUCGCGGUUACUUCAAGAUAACACGUUUAACGAGAUCUUGGUAUUUAAUCUGAGUCUGGCCACUGGCCUAUACGCACUAACCAACUACGCGGGGACAGUUAUGGGCACUCGACGUCGUGGUAUCAGCCGAAGCCUUCGUGACGUCAGUGACUGAGCGGCGCGCGUCGGGUUGGACUGGAACGCCUGCUCUUGUAUAAGGGAGGCUAGGUCUGCUCACCAGCCGCAUACGCAACGUGCAUGUGUGCAAUGCGCGAUGGGCCCAGACCCCUGUGCCAUAGGAUUUAGACCGGCGUGCUGACCUCUCAGUUGUGCCUAGGUAGGGCUACGACAUGUUGAUCUUCCGAGGCCGGGCAUGACCCAGACAAGUGCGUCCGGACAAAGGGGAUCGAGCAUGUUGGGAAAUGUGGUGCACCCCUGCAGGGAAGUUAAUCUAUUCGAAUAGCCAUGAUCUUCGGUAACAGGACGACUUGGAGUUGUACCUUGACCUUAUGACAACUAGAACCGGAUACUUAUUAAAACACACCCUUCCAAGUGCCAGAUACAACCGGUGAUCGCUCUCUCAUAGGGCGACGAGGGGAGGAUCACCGGGUAGGGUUAUGCUAUGCGUUGUUACUUGGUGAACUUACCAUCUACUCUCUUCUACAUGCUGCAAGAUGGAGGUUACCAGAAGCAUAGUCUUCGAAAGGACAAGCUAUCCCCCCUUAUUCCGGCAUUCUGCAGUUCAGUCCACCUAUGAUACCCUUAUUCCAAUUGAUACCAUUGCAUACAUAUGUAGUGUAGCUCGUUGCUUGCGAGUACUUUGGAUGAGUACUCACGAUUGCUUUGCUCCCUCUUUUCCCUCUUUCUAUACCCGAUUGUUGCGACCAGACGAUGGAGCCCUGGAGCCAGACGCCACCGUCGAUGACUACUACUACUACUACUCGGGAGGUGCCUACUACUACGUGCAGCCCGCUGACGACGACCAGGAGUAGUUUAGGAGGAUCCCAGGUAGGAGGCAUGCGCCUCUUUCGAUCUGUAUCCCAGUUUGUGCUAGCCUUCUUAAGGCAAACUUGUUGACUUAUGUCUGUACUCAGAUAUUGUUGCUUCCGCUGACUCGUCUAUGAUUGAUCUCUUGUAUUCGAGCCCACGAGGCCCCUGGCUUGUAAUAUGAUGCUUGUAUGACUUAUCUUAUUUGUAGAGUUGUGUUGUGAUAUCUUCUGUGAGUCCCUGAUCUUGAUCGUACAUGUUCGCGUGUAUGAUUAGUGUACGAUUGAAUCGGGGGCGUCACAUCUGGGCUCACCAUCGCUUCUUCAUAGUUCGUAGGUUCGUCAUGGUCUAGUAACAUAACUUCCAGAACAGGAUCAUCGUACCACUCUGGUGCAGAUCUUACUCUGGUUGACCUACGAGGUUCAGUAACAACUUGAUCUAAAGUUUCAUGAUCAUCAUCAUUAACUUCCUCACUAAUUGGUGUAGGUGUCGCAGAAACCGGUUUCUGCGAUGAACUACUUUCCAAUAAGGGAGCAGGUACAGUUACCUCAUCAAGAUCUACUUUCCUCCCACUCACUUCUUUCGAGAGAAACUCCUUCUCUAGAAAAACUCCGAAUUUAGCAACAAAAGUCUUGCCUUCGGAUCUGUGAUAGAAGGUGUACCCAACAGUCUCCUUUGGGUAUCCUAUGAAGACACAUUUCUCCGAUUUGGGUUCGAGCUUAUCAGGUUGAAGCUUUUUCACACAAGCAUCGCAGCCCCAAACUUUCAGAAACAACAAUUUUGGUUUCUUACCAAACCAUAGUUCAUAAGGUGUCGUCUCAAAGGAUUUCGAUGGUGCCCUAUUUAAGGUGAAUGCGGCCGUCUCUAAAGCCUAACCCCAAAACGAUAGCGGUAAAUCAGUAAGAGACAUCAUAGAUCGCACCAUAUCUAGUAAAGUACGAUUACGACAUUCGGACACACCAUUAUGCUGUGGUGUUCCGGGUGGCAUGAGUUGCGAAACUAUUCCGCAUUGUUUCAAAUGAAGACCAAACUCAUAACUCAAAUAUUCUCCUCCAUGAUCAAAUCGUAGAAACUUUAUUUUCUUGUUAUGAUGAUUUUCAACUUCACUCUGAAAUUCUUUGAACUUUUCAAAUGUUUCAGACUUAUGUUUCAUUAAGUAGAUGUACCCAUAUCUGCUUAAAGCAUCUGUGAAGGUGAGAAAAUAAUGAUAUCCGCCACGAGCCUCAACAUUCAUCGGACCACAUACAUCUGUAUGUAUGAUCUCCAACAAAUAUGUUGCUCUCUCCAUAGUUCCGGAGAACGGCGUUUUAGUCAUCUUGCCCAUGAGGCACGGUUCGCAAGUAUCAAGUGAUUCAUAAUCAAGUGGUUCCAAAAGUCCAUCAGUAUGGAGUUUCUUCAUGCGCUUUAUUCCGAUAUGACCUAAACGGCAGUGCCACAAAUAAGUUGCACUAUCAUUAUCAACUCUGCAUCUUUUGGCGUCAAUAUUAUGAAUAUGUGUAUCACCACUAUCGAGAUUUAGCAAAAAUAGACCACUCUUCAAGGGUGCAUGACCAUAGAAGAUAUUACUCAUAUAAAUAGAACAACCAUUAUUCUCUGAUUUAAAUGAAUAACCGUCUCGCAUCAAACAAGAUCCAGAUAUAAUGUUCAUGCUCAACGCUGGCACCAAAUAACAAUUAUUUAGGUCUAAUACUAAUCCCGAAGGUAGAUGUAGAGGUAGCGUGCCGACCGCGAUCACAUUGACGUUGGAACCAUUUCCCACGCGCAUCAUCACCUCGUCCUUAGCCAAUCUUCGCUUAAUCCGUAGCCCCUGUUUCGAGUUGCAAAUAUUAGCAACAGAACCAGUAUCAAAUACCCAGGUGCUACUGUGAGCAUUAGUAAUGUACACAUCAAUAACAUGUAUAUCACAUAUACCUUUGUUCACCUUGCCAUCCUUCUUAUCAGCCAAAUACUUGGGGCAGUCCGCUUCCAGUGACCAGUCUGCUUGUAGUAGAAGCACUCAGUCUCAGGCUUAGGUCCAGACUUGGGUUUCUUCUCUUGAUCGGCAACUUGCUUGCUGUUCUUCUUGAAGUUCCCCUUCUUCUUCCCUUUGCCUUUUUUCUUGAAACUGGUGGUCUUAUUGAUCAUCAAAACUUGAUGCUCCUUCUUGAUUUCUACCUCCGCUGCCUUUAGCAUUGCGAAGAGCUCGGGAAUUGUCUUAUCCAUCCCUUGCAUAUUAUAGUUCAUCACGAAGCUCUUGUAGCUUGGUGGCAGUGAUUGGAGAACUCUGUCAAUGACACUACCGACCGGAAGAUUAACUCCCAGCUGAGUCAAGUGAUUAUGGUACCCAGACAUUCUGAGUAUAUGUUCACUGACAGAACUAUUCUCCUCCAUCUUGCAGCUGUAGAAUUUAUUGGAGACUUCAUAUCUCUCAAUCCGGGCAUUAGCUUGAAAUAUUAACUUCAACUCCCGGAACAUCUCAUAUGCUGCACGACAUUCAAAACGUCGUUGAAGUCCAGGUUCUAAGCCGUAAAGCAUGGCGCACUGAACUAUCAAGUAGUCAUCAGCUUUGCUCUACCAGACAUUCUUAACGUCGUCAGUUGCAUCAGCAGCAGGCCUGGCACUCAGCGGUACUUCCAGGACGUAAUUCUUCUGAGCAGCAAUGAGGAUAAUCCUCAACUUACGGACCCAGUAUGUGUAAUUGCUACCAUCAUCUUUCAACUUUGCUUUCUCAAGGAACACAUUAAAAUUCAACGGAACAACAACACAGGCCAUCUAUCUACAAUCAACAUAGACAAGCAAGAUACUAUCAGGUACUAAGUUCAUGAUAAAUUUAAGUUCAAUUAAUCAUAUUAUUUAAGAACUCCCACUUAGAUAUACAUCCCUCUAAUCCUCUAAGUGAUCACGUGAUCCAUAUCAACUAAACCAUGUCCGAUCAUCACGUGAGAUGGAGUAGUUUCAAUGGUGAAUAUCACUAUGUUGAUCAUAUCUACUACAUGAUUCACGCUCGACCUUUCGGUCUCCGUGUUCCGAGGCCAUAUCUGUUAUAUGCUAGGCUCGUCAAGUUUAACCUGAGUAUUCCGUGUGUGCAACUGUUUUGCACCCGUUGUAUUUGAACGUAGAGCCUAUCACACCCGAUCAUCACGUGGUGUCUCAGCACGAAGAACUUUCGCAACGGUGCAUACUCAGGGAGAACACUUUAUACUUUGAUAAUUUAGUGAGGGAUCAUCUUAUAAUGCUACCGUCAAUCAAAGCAAGAUAAGAUGCAUAAAAGAUAAACAUCAGAUGCAAUCAAUAUAAGUGAUAUGAUAUGGCCAUCAUCAUCUUGCGCUUGUGAUCUCCAUCUCCGAAGCACCGUCAUGAUCACCAUUGUCACCGGCGCGACACCUUGAUCUCCAUCGUAGCAUCGUUGUCGUUUCGCCAAUCUUAUGCUUCCGCGACUAUUGCUACCACUUAGUGAUAAAGUAAAGCAUUACAGGGCGAUUACAUUGCAUACAAUAAAGCGACAACCAUAUGGCUCCUGCCAGUUGCCGAUAACUCGGUUACAAAACAUGAUCAUCUCAUACAAUAAAAUUUAGCAUCAUGUCUUGACCAUAUCACAUCACAACAUGCCCUGCAAAAACAAGUUAGACGUCCUCUACUUUGUUGUUGCAAAUUUUACGUGGCUGCUACGGGCUUAGCAAGAACCGUUCUUACCUACGCAUCAAAACCACAACGAUAGUUUGUCAAGUUGGUGCUAUUUUAACCUUCUCAAGGACCGGGCGUAGCCACACUCGGUUCAACUAAAGUUGGAGAAACUGACACCCGCCAGCCACCUGUGUGCAAAGCACGUCGGUAGAACCAGUCUCGCGUAAGCGUACGCGUAAUGUCGGUCCAGGCCGCUUCAUCCAACAAUACCGCCGAACCAAAGUAUGACAUGCUGGUAGGAAGCAUGACUUAUAUCGCCCACAACUCACUUGUGUUCUACUCGUGCAUAUGACAUCUACGCAUAAAACCUGGCUCGGAUGCCACUGUUGGGGAACGUAGUAAUUUCCAAAAAUUUCCUACGCACACGCAAGAUCAUGGUGAUGCAUAGCAAUGAGAGGGGAGAGUGUUGUCCACGUACCCUCGUAGACCGAAAGUGGAGGCGUUAGCACAACACGGUUGACGUAGUCGUACGUCUUCACGAUCCGACCGAUUAAGUACCGAACGUACGGCACCUCCGAGUUCAGCACACGUUCAGCCCGAUAACGUCCCUUGAACUCUGAUCCAGCCGAGUGUUGAGGGAGAGUUUUGUCAGCAUGAUGGCGUGGUGAUGAUGAUGAUGUUCUACUGAUGUAGGGCUUCGCCUAAGCACCGCUACAGUAUUAUCGAGGUGGACUAUGGUGGAGGGGGGCACCGCACACGGCUAAAAGAUCAAACGAUCAAUUGUUGUGUCUAUGGGGUGCCCCCUGCCCCCGUAUAUAAAGGAUCAAGGGGAGGAGCUGGCCGGCCAGGGAGAGGCACGCCAAUGGGGAGUCCUACUCCCAUAGGAGUAGGACUCCUCCUAUUCCUAGUAGGAGUAGGAGAGGGGGAAGGAAAGGGAGAGGGGGAGAAGGAAAGAGGGGGCCGUCCCCCCUUGCCCUAAACCAAUUCGGUUUGGGACUUGGGGGGUUGCGCACCACACUCCCCUUGCUGCCAUCUAUUUCCACUAAGGCCCAUGUAGGCCCAUUAAGCCCCCGGGGGGUUCCGGUAACCUCCCGGUACUCCGGUAAAAUCCCGAUUUCACCCGGAACACUUCCAAUAUCCAAACAUAGGCUUCCAAUAUAUCAAUCUUCAUGUCUCGACCAUUUCGAGACUCCUCGUCAUGUCCGGGAUCACACCCGGGACUCCGAACAACCUUCGGUACAUCAAAACAUAUAAACUCAUAAUAUAACCAUCAUCGAAACAUUAAGCAUGCGGACCCUACAGGUUCGAGAACUAUGUAGACAUGACCGAGACAUGUCUCCGGUCAAUAACCAAUAGCGGAACCUGGAUGUUCAUAUUGGCUCCCACAUAUUCUACGAAGAUAUUUAUCGGUCAAACCGCAUAACAACAUACGUUGUUCCCUUUGUCAUCGGUAUGUUACUUGCCCGAGAUUCAAUCGUUGGUAUCUCAAUACCUAGUUUAAUAUCAUUACCGGCAAGUCUCUUUACUCGUUCUGUAAUACAUCAUCUCGCAACUAACUCAUUAGUUGCAAUGCUUACAAGGCUUAAGUGAUGUGCAUUACCGAGAGGGCCCAGAGAUACCUCUCCGACAAUCGGAGUGACAAAUCCUAAUCUCGAAAUACGCCAACCCAACAAGUACCUUCAGAGACACCUGUAGAGCACCUUUAUAAUCACCCAGUUACGUUGUGACGUUUGGUAGCACACAAAGUGUUCCACCGGUAAACAGGAGUUGCAUAAUCUCAUAGUCAUAGGAAGUAUAAGUCAUGAAGAAAGCAAUAGCAGAAUACUAAACGAUCAUGUGCUAAGCUAACGGAAUGGGUCAAGUCAAUCACAUCAUUCUCCUAAUGAUGUGAUCUCAUUAAUCAAAUGACAACACUUUGUCUAUGGUUAGGAAACUUAACCAUCUCUGAUUAAUGAGCUAAUCAAGUAGAGGCAUACUAGUGACAUACUAUUUGUCUAUGUAUUCACACAUGUAUUAUGUUUCCUGUUAAUACAAUUCUAGCAUGAAUAAUAAACAUUUAUCAUGAUAUAAGGAAAUAAAUAAUAACUUUAUUAUUGCCUCUAGGGCAUAUCUCCUUCAAAAAGUAGUUUUAAUGCAAGAGAUGUAACAUAAGCCACCAUAGGGAGCAUUCAUUUUCCUUCUAUACAUUAUUUUGCUCUCUUCAUAGGAAGGUGCAUAAACGGUAAAGAUGAAGCAUGUCACAUGUGUGUACCUGAUCUUAGCGUUCUUAGGAGCGCUGUUUUAGGAGAUAAACAAUAUAACUUGGGCGCUAUUGUUGCAUGCAGGUUUCAUAAUAAUCGUAUUCAUGGAGAUUUCUUUCGUGGAAUUUAUGCAACUCGUAUAGCUAACUUUCUUGAGAUACCCAUACGUGGAGAUGAUAUUGAGUUGUCUCCUUCUUAUCUAGAUUAUGAUGCUAUGGUUCGUCAUCAGUUUGUUGAGAGGAACAAUCAGUUCCUCCAGUACCGACAAAUUGACAGACGACGAACCUAUCACGUCGCUCUCCCUGCUCCCACUUUCUUUGACUUUCAGGCAAAGGGGAGAUAUGUUAUAACCAGGGAGGAGGCGACUGAGUACUAGAGGAGGGCGGAGACAACUCGCCUCCAAGCCGCAGCUCAUCAGGCAAUUGCCGCUGCAUCUCAGUACGACCCCAGCUACAACUUUGUAUAUCCACAAGGCCAGCCGUGGCCAUAGACCAACUUAGGCUAAAAGCCUAAGCUUGGGGCAGUACGUAUCUCUCACCGACAUUACAUUCAUGUUCACACACUCAUGCUAGUUGUCGGUGCUCAUACUUUUUUAUUGUAAUAUCCAUGCUAGUUUAUUUCCCUUUUUAUGCUUUCUUCUUGCGUGUUUGAUAAACCUUAAGAAAAAAACAAAAAAAAAUAGUUGUAGCUUUUAGCUAGUUUACUUUUCAUGCCUGUAGUAGUAAUAAUUAAAAAGAAAACCCAAAAAGAUUUCUCGUUCUUAUUUUGCUUGUUGGGAGCUUUCCUGUGUAAAUAGUUUUAUUUCUUUUCUUGUUCUUUGGGGGUCGAGAGGAGAAGAUCAUGAUGAAAAUGUUGAGUGGCUCUUAUAUGCAUUAUUGUUGAUCUAUAAAAGAGCCCAUAUUACCUUGUCUUCUCUCUUGAAUUGAGUGCUUGCAGAUUCUAGCUUAGUCCAAUGCACGUUGUAACACCCUCGAUGCGACUAUAUCUCCCACGUGUCGAGGCACGACUUAGAGGCAUAAUCGCAUUGAAGGCAUAUGUCGCAAGUUAGGCGAUCUUCACAACAUCCCAUGUAAUAUAAUUAAUAAAAGGGGAGAUAACAUAGUUGGCUUACAUUCGCCACGUCAAUCAAGUACAUAAAUAGCAUUACAUCAAUCAAACACUCAUGGCCCGACUACGGCGCUAAAAUAAAAGACAACCCAACAUGCGACACGGUCCCGAUCACCCCAACUGGGCACCACUACUGAUCAUCAGGAAAAGAAACAUAGUAACGAUAAGAGUCCUCGUCGAACUCCCACUUGAGCUCAAGCGCGCCAUCUGGAGCUGCAUCAUCAGGCCCUGCAUCUGGUGUAAUAGUAAUCUGUGAGCCACAGGGACUCAGCAAUCUCGCACCCUCGCGAUCAAGACUAUUUAAGCUUAAAUGGGUAAGGCAAGGUAAAUAUAUGUGGAGCUGCAGCAAGCGACUAGCAUAUAUGGUGGCUAUCCUAUUCGCAAAAGAGAGCGAGAAGAGAAGGCAAAGCGCGAACGCAUAACUAAAGAGGGCAAUCCUGCGACAAACAUUACUCCAACACCGUGUCCACUUCCCGGACUCCGCCGAGAAGAGGCCAUCACGGUAACUCACACAGUUGAUUCAUUUUAAUUAAGUUAAUGUUUAAGUUAUCUACAACCGGAUAUUAACAAAUUCCCAUCUGCCCAUAACCGCGGGCACGACUUUCGAAAGUUCAAAUCCCUGCAGGGGAGUCCGAACUUAGCCCAUGACAAGCUCUCACGGUCAACGAAGGAAUAGACCUCCUCCCGAGACGUUCCGAUCAGACUCGGUACCUCGGUUCUUCAAGACAUUUCGAUAGGUUAAAACUAGACCAGCAACACCGCCCGAAUGUGCCGACAAAUCCCGAUAGGAGUUGCACAUAUCUCGUUCUCAGGGCACACUCAGAUGAGCCAGACGUCGGGUAGGCCAGCCCAGAGUUGCCCCUGGUAGCCCCGGACAUCGCUCGGUUGGACCAACACUCAGAGGAGCACUGGCCUGGGGGGGUUUAAAAUAAGAUGACCCCCGGGCUCCGGAAACCCAAGGGAAAAAGAGGCUAGGUGGCAAAUGGUAAAACCAAGGUUGGGCAUUGCUGGAAAAGCUUUAAUCAAGGCGAACUAUCAAGGGGUUCCCAUUAUAACCCAACCGCGUAAGGAACGCAAAAUCCGGGAACAUAACACCGAUAUGACGGAACUAGGGCAGCAAGAGUGCAACAAAACACUAGGCGAGUGGCCGAGCCUUCCACCCUUUACCAAGUAUAUAGAUGCAUUAAGAUAACAUGGCAAUAUAGUGAUAUCCCAACAAGUAAAUAAGUGUUCCAACAAGGAACGGUCUCCAAAACUUCACCUGCAACUAGCAACGCUAUAAGAGGGGCUGAGCAAAGCGGUAACAUAGCCAAUCAACGGUUUGCUAGGACAAUGGCGGGUUAGAGGCUGAACAUGGCAAUUUGGGAGGCUUGAAAGCAAGUGGUAGGCAUCGUAGCAUGGCAUAGCAAAAGAGCGAGCAUCUAGCAAAGCAAAGAUAGUUGUGAUUUCGAGGGUAUGAUCAUCUUGCCUGCAAAGUUGUCAGAGUUGCCUGGAUCCUCGAAAGCAAACUCAACAGGCUCCUCGUUAGCGAACUCGUCUCCCGGCUCUACCCAUACAAGACAAACAAGCAACAAGGACACAAUCAACCACGUGCAAGGAUCAAACAAUAGGAUGCAAACAUGGUAUGCUAUGCGGGAUGUAAUGCGGGAUGCAUAAGCAAGAUUUGACAAGGAAAGCAUGACCCUGGCCUCAACUUGGAAAACCAAGUGUGCCACUGGAAAGAUGAGAUGAAGUCGCUUGAAAACAAUAUAAAGAACGCCGGAAUCGGAGUUACGGUUUGGAAAUGGCAAGCGAUUCAAAUAUGACACCGGUCUGCGAUUUACAGCAAGUAGCCAUCUAAAUGCAAUGAGAUGAACAAGCUACAACACCCAAACAUGGCAACAAAAUACAUGGCAGGGAUGCAUUCAAGAUUCUUAACAAAAGUCUAGCACUGAGCUACGGCCAAUUCAUCCAUUAGCAGGUUCAAACAAGCAUGGCAAAAAUGCAUAUGGUAAACAGAUCUCAGACUUAGUGAAAUUAACACUUGUCUGGAAUUUCAGAUCAGAUAGCACUCUUCGGAGCAACAAAACUAUAUGCUACAGGACCUGAACAUGACAAAGUAAAGCAUGGCAUGGAGCUACUCAAAGAUCUUAACAAAAGUCCCUUAGUGACCUUAAGCCAAAAGGGAUCACAAAAUACAUUUGCAAGCAUGUGAACAUAGCAAAAACAUAAUCAGUUUCCAGACUUUGUGAAAACUGGAGCAUGCUGAAACAUAUCUCAAGUAGGCAUGUUUACGAGCUCGAUGCACUCAGUACGGAGCAAGUCAUGAUAAUCUAAGCAUACAUACAUCAAGAAUACACAAAAUGCAAGCUAGGCAUGGCAAGAACAAUAGCAUAGCAUGCAUGGAUCAACUACAACAUCAUCGGCA
This 56434-nucleotide long non-coding RNA is filed under the name Triticum aestivum (bread wheat). RNAcentral's name for it is "long non-coding RNA (TAES_LNC025302)". Lineage: Eukaryota; Viridiplantae; Streptophyta; Magnoliopsida; Poales; Poaceae. The record is from RNAcentral.